GGCGCGGCGCGGACGCGGAGCGUGGGAAGAGCGGGCGGAGCUCUCGAAGCAGAGUCCGCAGUGUUGCGCCUCCGCGGGUCUCCGUGCAUCCGGGCGGCGAUUGCGGUGCAGCGCCGGAAGCCGGCGACCGCUCAGGACAAGAUCUUGCCUUGUAAUCCUGGUUUGCUUGGAACCUACUACAUAGACUAGAUUGGCUACCUACUGCUGAAAUCAUAGGCAUGUGACACCAGGCCCAGCUAGUAACUAUUCUUGAGGGCCUUCUCUGUGACAGACAUUGUACCAGACCCUGGACAGACACCUGUGAAAAGAUGGUCAGAGCCUGACUGUCAUGGAUGCUGCAUUCUAAACUGUGAGAACUACUGUCAGCUUUCCUUGUGUAGUAUAUUAUUAUGACUGUCACGUCUGCGCUGCCAAAUCCACCAUGCUUUAGGGCCUGGUAUUCAUGGACUCAUGCUGUCAUUUCGUGUAGUUGAUGAGAAGUGUCUAUAAGAAGCCUGGUACCGUUUCUGUAGCUUGACUCCUUUUCAUAGCCCCGUAGCUUGCCUUUUAGAGAGACACUGGUUUGCUAUUGUGUUUAACAUUCUGGCCUAAGUGUAUGUAGCUCUGAUAGUUAAAGUGGUGAGGUUACUUAACUAAUGGAUUGGCAGAGAGGCUAAAUGAAAACAUUUAAAAGCCCUUCCCGAUUAGUAAAGGUCUUGGCAAGUGCCCAGUGGUACUGGUAUCUUAGAGCAAGUUGGUCAUUUCCGUGGACUUUGCUGGCUGUGGGUUGAGCUCUUCUUGCCUUUUCACCAGCUGGUCAGGUGACAGGUCUGUGCUCUCCCUGGACCUGCUCUUUGUGGAAGCUGUAAAUUGACGUGCAUCUAUGCUGCUGUGGGAAUCUAGUCUGCCAAUACAACUUGGGGUCAUAUGAUUUAUAUUUCCCUAUGUAAAUAAUUUCUCCAAAUUUUAAAAAUGAUCUGUGAUUCUUACAUAUUAUUAGUUCAUUUUUUUGUUUGUUUUUGUUUUUGCAAUUUCAGUUUAAGUCCAGCUAUAUGGCAGGAUUAGAAUAUCUGUGCGGUUUUAGUGCUUUUUAGUAAAAAUACGUUCUCAGAUGUAAAAACCAAUGUACUUUUAGCAUUCAUAUGUUCUCUAUUAUAUACUUAGGAUAAUGCAUAAUAUUUUAAAUUUAGCAUGAUUGAUAUUUCUAGUCACUGAAGGUUACAUGGUUAAGAAUUUGAUUUUUUAAUUAAACAAUAAUUUGUAAAUCAGUUAAAUUCUGAGUAUCUUCCUGUGUUGUAUAUAGCAUUUCAGUAUUAAUGAUACAUAGUAAAUACAACAUUGAAAGCUGUCAGUGGCUAGAUAAGUGAUAUGUGGUACUUUCUCUCUUCCUCUGUUCACAGUUCUGUCCUAGACAGUCCCUGCCUCCUGGGCACCCUUCCCUCUUACAUAUUCAUAACAAUGCGCACCUCCAGCUCCAUAUCUGUGCACAUCACCAGUUUUCCUCCUUUAUGCAAAACAUUUGCACUGGCUGCUGUUCUGUCGUUUUGAAGAAGCCCCAGAUUCCGCCUUUCAGGCUUCCUCACGCUUGUGUUUUGUGUCCACCUUGAAUCCCACCACUCUUGGUUAAUGUGCUCCUGACAUCUCUCCCAGCGAUCACUCUGGCUUUGACCUCACUGAGUGGCUCCUCAGCAGGGUUGGGCAUAGCUGGGCCCAUCAUUUUCCUGGAGGCUGUUUUUUUGUUUCCAGGGCAUCUGUUCCUGGUCUCUUACUGCCUUCACUCGCCACACAUGUUCAGUUUUCUAUCCCUGAGAUUCCUCCUCUUUAUCUUUUCCUCACUUUUGUCUUUAAAUGCCUUACUUACAAAUAAUAUCUCCAGUUCAUUUCAAAGUAGUCACAGAUGGGAAAUACCAAUAACCAUGCAUUUUUUUCCUCCUGAAGUUGCUUCAUUGCUUUCUCUAUAAUUUUAUUUAUAUUAAAAAUUUUCCCUAAUGAGAAGCAAGAGCCUGGGUGAUGACGCUUCUCAAUUUUCGUCUUUAAUCCAGGCUUUCUUUUGAGGUGUAGACCCUGUAUAUGUGUCUGCUGGUUUAACAUCUCAGUAUUGAUAUUAAUACAUAUUGAACAUACCCCAGGCUGAACUGACUUUUCUACUCAGUUUUCCCAUCACGGUGAUGGGAAUGCUAACCUUUUAGGUGUUUAUUAGAAUACUAGAUGUUGUAUUUCACUUUCCUCAUUCUUGUGGGCCUUUAUCCCACCCAUGUGCUGAUCCAGAUUCCAUCUAUAAAGCAUUUCCAAAUCUGACCUGUCAGAACUGCUUUCCCUGCCAGCACCCUGGCCAGAUUGCUGUCAUCUCCGUUUCUUUGUCUCUCCUAGGCUAGAGUCCUCAUAGCAGCCAGAAUCUUCCAUCGAAGGAGAAGUCUAUGCCCUGAGGUUCUCAGCCACUAGUGGUAGCUUUUCUUCUCAUUCAGUAAAUACUGUGGUCCUCAAUGAGGUCCCCAGGAGGACGUAGCUUAUAUCACUACUGUAAAAUAGAGACACAAUGUGAGAAACAUUGGAGAAGCACACAGGUAAUUUUAAAAUCUCUGGCGAACGAAGUAAAGAUGUUGAAAAUUAAUUGUGGUCAUGUAUUUUAUUUAAGCUAGUACGUCAGAAGUGUUUUUAUUUCCGAAGUGGGUUAUAUUGUUCUUGUUUAAUUUCCCGUUUGUGCUGAGUCAUAGCCUAUCUCCAACGGAGGCUGGCGGCCCCCGUGUGGUGCAUCGGGACUGUAGGAUCCAUCUCCUGUGCUGUUCAUCUCUCUCCUCUCAUGCUCUUCCUUCACUACAGUUUAUGCCAUCGUCUUUGGCCUCCUCCAUGUUGCUUAAGCACUGUGUUAGAGCUGUUUCGUUUCUAGUUCUCUCUGUCUGGAAUCUUCUUCCCACACAGCCUGUGGUUUUGUUUUGUUUUUGUUUUUGUUUUCCCUUUUUUCCUGUGGGUCUUAGAUUCUCAGGGGCCUCCCCAUAGCUCACCAUUCUCUAGCAUUCUCUGUACCCCUUCACACAGAGCUUUUUCUCUCUCAUCAUUAAUAUUAUAAAUAUUUCUGUAAUGGUUUGAAUAAGGAUGGCCCCUUAUAUAUAGGCUCGUAUAUUUGAAUGUUUAGUCCUCAGGGAACAGUAGUACUUGGGAGAGAUUAGGAAAUGUUGAGAUGUUGGAGAAGGUGUGACCAUGUUUGAGGAAGUGUGUCACUGGGGAUGGGCUUUGGAAUUUCAUGUUGCCCACGAAUCCAGAUGUAGAACUUUUAGCACCGUGAGAGAAAUCCUAGCACCAUGCUGCCAUGCUUCCUGCCGUGAUGGCAGUGCGUUAAACCUCUGGAACUAUAAGCAAGCCCCAAUUAGAUGCUUUCCUUUAUAAGAGUUACCAUGGUCAUAGUGUCUCUUUAAAACAGAAGAAUACCGACUAAGUUUAUAUCAGUAUUUUUUCUCUUUCUGUUUACUGCAUGAGCAGUGAUCUUUGUCAGUUUUGUCCCUUGCUUUGUUUCAAAGUAGAGACAGCACCGACCGACCAUGUAGUAGAUGUUUGUUGAAUAAUUGAAUAGAGUGAAUGAUUAAGAAUGUUUAUUAGUAAGGACAGUUCAAAUGAGUAUACUAUUACACAUUAUGUGACAGAUGACACAUAAAUUUAAACAUUGUGCCCAUGUCCAUAAUAGUUUGUUUUGACUUACUAUUUUCAACAAAAUGUUUAAAAGACAUUCUAGUAUUUUUUUCUUCAUACUUAGGUACCUCUAACACAAGCUCCCCCAGAAGUUCUUGCCCUUAUUACUUCUGCUAACCUUGUCUCUGCGUCUUGUCUUUUUUGUUCCUCUUAUCUAAAGGCCUGAGUUUCACCAAUAUUUAUGCUUGAUGGGCUGGAGGAUAAGUCAGUCCUGUGACCCAGGACUUUAGAGCUGUGUUUCUUAAACAACAAAAUCUGCCAGGCCAGAUUUCUUAGGCAGCUGCUGGAGAUAUUGUAUGAAAUGACUUUUUGAUAUUAGGGAGGACAGCAUUGCAGCAUUUAUUGACUGUAUGUUCUUCUGGUCUCACAAUGUGACCAUUCUAGUCAUGGCCAUGCUGUGAUUUAGGAAGCUGACACUGCUCUGAAAGUCUGCUAGCACAACAUUCUGAAAGAGGUAGCCAUGGUAGCUAGAGUGGCCAGCCCAGUUCUUUAAAGCACAUAUACAAAAAUAUAUAGGUGCAUACAUACAAACAGACAUAAUUACAUAUGUUUUGUGCAUUGCCGUUAUUCCGGUACAUAUACAUAAUGAGUGAGGGUCAAAUUAAGAUCAGUGACAUAUCUAUCUUCACAGACACAUAAUUUCUUUAUGUUGGAAACAUUCAGAAUCCUCUUUGCUACACCAGCAGGUCAUUUAAUCAGUCAGCCCUAUGCUAGCUUUUCUGGAUUAUAUGGUAAAUUGUUGCCAGCUAUAGUUGCCCUACAGGAGAUGAGAAGUUUUUUGUCUAUCAUGCUGGACCAUCAUGAAUUGUCCACUCUCUCUGUUUUUGACCCUUUUCCUAACCUUUGAUAGCCACUGUUCUAUUUUCUGCUUCUGUGAGGUCAACUUUGGAGCUUCUGCAUGCCAGUGAGAAUGUGUGUACAUCUUUCUGCGCCUAGCUUAUGUCACGUAAUGUAAUAUCUCUUAGGUCAUACGGCUUCAAAUGACAGGAUUUCAGUCUUUUAUGGUGAAAUAAUUUUCACACACACACACACACACACACACACACACACACUCACACACGCACACACGCAGGUGCCACAUUUUCUUUUUUCAUUCCCCUAUUGAUGGACACUGAGGUUUAUUCUCUUGGCUAUUAUGAUUAGUGCCACAGUAAAAAUGGCAUGAAAAUGUCUCUAUGGCAUAACAACUUCAAUUUCUUAAAUAUAUUUCCUGUAUUGGGAUUGCUGGAUUAUGUGGUAGCUUUAUUUCCAGGGUAUUUUUUGUUUUGUUUUGUUUUUUUGAGUGGAGUGUCCCUAUGGAGCCAAGGCUAGCCUAGAAUUCAUGGUCCUCCUGCCUUAGUCUCCAGAGUGUUAUGCAUUGCAGGCCUGCGCCAUUGCCAUGCCUGGUUUAUUUCUAGUUUUUGUUCGUUUGUUUGUUUUAUUUUAUUUUUAAGGUCCCUAAAUACAAUUUUCUACCAUAGCUAAUUUACAUUUCCACUAACAAUGGGACAAGGUAUUUUUUCUACAUCCUCCCCAGCAUUUGUUACCACUACCACCACUACUUAUUCUUAUUUUUACUAUUAUUAUUAGUAUAAUUAUGGUGAUGCAUUUUUGAUAAUAUCUACUCUCAUUGGGGUGAGAUGGCAUUUUAUUAUAGUUUUGAAUUUAUAUUUUCCUGAUGAUCAGUGAGAUUGAACAUUUUCUUGGAUACUUGUUGGCUGUUUGUCUUUUUUAAAGCAAUGUUUGUUUAGGUAAUUUGCCCAUUUUAAAAUCAGAUUAUUUGUUUUGAGUUCCUCAUAUGUUCUGGAUGUUGAUCCUGGCAGGUAAAUAGUUUGCCAACAUUUUCUCAAGUUCUACAUGUUGUCUUUUCAUGCUUGCUUUCUUUUCUGUGCAGACGUUUCUACUUCAGCCACCUCCCUUAAAGAAGUGAUGCCUCUUUGUACCUGUGUACACAUCCUGGCAGGGCCCUUCUCCUCUUUGUUUGUUCAAGAAGCUAUGGAUGUGUACGUUUGGAGUUGUUUGCCCAAUGAUUGUGAGCACACUUUUAAAAGGUGAGCAGCUGGAAGUAGACCCUUCCUUGUUGAAGAAAGCUUGUUUCCCUUGCUCUAUUUUUUUAACCACUUGAUUAUGCUUAACCCAUCAACUGCUGUUCACUGAAGCACAUCUGUAAAGGUUGUUCUGUCUAUUUCUCAUUUUGGAACAAGUAGAAUAGAGAUGGAAAUGGAUGUAGUAAGAAAGAAGAUAGCCAAUUUUAGUUAUAGAGUUAAAGCUUAAAAGGAAGACAGAAGACAGAAAAAGGUAAGAAUGUAUCAUAGUAACCAGAGUCGGGUAAGGAGAAUGUCUUUUGGAAAACAGUAAACAUCUGGUCCAUUGUGUUCCUGACUAUAUGCUCAGAGCCUAGCUAUACUAUUCCCACUGGGUCCUUGGUACAUGUGUUGUUAAGUGGGUGCUCAAGAACAGGCAGGGCUUUGCCUCUAGCACAGAGCUAGGGUACAGAGCCAAAGGAGGACUGUUGGAGCUGGGUGGCCAGCAUACUCAGAAGAAGUGUAUGCAGUAAAAGAGGGCUGUAUAUUGGAAGAGGUGGUAAGAAGUCCUGGACCUGCUCUUAUUAAUCAUUGAAUGGAAGCUAUAGCAGAAAAAAAAUUCUUACAGCACAUAGUUUAGUUUGACAUAUAGCAGGGGAUUUGCAAGAUCCACAUUACAAAACACUUCCUCAGUCUGGCCCAGCUAUGCAGUGCUUGCCAAGGUCAUCAGUCAGCCAGAAGAGCCUUUCCUCCUCUGUAGUCUUGGGUGUUGAUGGCACGCACUGCGUAGACCUUCUGGGUUUGAAGUGCUGAUUAGCAGCAAGCUCAGAGAUGACCCCGAGGGGCAUGAGGAGGCAGUGGAGAGUGCAGAGUUUGCCACUGAAUAUGUGCUCCUUUAGCAGGGCACAAACAAACAAACAAACAAACAAAUAAUUUAAAAAGAGAUUAACCCAUCAUAUUUGCUAUGUAAGAAUAUUAAUUUUUCUUUGGUUUUGUUCUGUUUGGUUUGGUUUAGAGAUGGGGCUUUUCUGAAUAGUCCUCGCUGUCCUGGAACUCUCUCUGUAGACCAGGCCAGCCUGUAACUCAGAGAUCCACCUGCCUCUGCCUCCCAAGUAUUGAGACUAAAGGUGGUGCCACCACACCCUGCUAGAAUACUGAUUUUCUAAGAUAUGUUUUUGACUCUGAUACCCAACGAACAGUAGCUACAAAGACAAAUGUGUCAUAUUUCUGGGAAGAGGGAAUAUAGGAAUUAGUGACUAGGGGUUCAUAUUGCUACAGUCUGGGCUUUGGAGAAUUCCGUUACUGUUGGAUCCAUUAGGGUAGGCUAUUUAGAGGAGGAGAUAGCAACAUUUCACAGGCUACUUGCAAGAAAGACUAGGCUGAGGAUGCCUAUUAAAUCAAUUAUUUUAUCCUGUCAUUAAAAAAAAAUCAAAGUAUAAGAUUGCCUCUAUUUAACUAAUAUUAUCAAACAGACUUCAGGCUCUAGGAUUUGUAGCAUAUCUGAUUUACAGUUAGGCUGUUGGAAGAUUUGAACCCCAGGACAGCACAGAUGGCCCUUCUGUCUUAGUGCUUCAGGUCUGUUCAGUUCUGGGACUACAGUGUAGGGAAGAAGUGCGAAACUGGUAAAGCAUGUGUUGGCCAGGAAUCAGCCCAGUGUGUUUAAUAGUUGGACCAGCACCAGAGGAAUCACUGGGACAAGAGGGAAGAAAUCAUAGGCCCCCUGGGGAGGCUUGACGACUGGGGUUGUCCUAGCUGCGACUACUGCAGAGAAAAGAUUUGACAAUGGGGUGGUGUGAAAUCAGUGCAAUGAGUGACCACCAUUUAAAAAAAAAAUGCAUGUGUUUGGUAAAGUCUUAAUGAAACUUAUUUUCUAUAGUUAAAAUGUUAGUAAAAAAUUAAAAGUAUGUAUAAAUGUAAUAGAAAAUAUUGAAUUGCAUAAUAUGUGAUAAAGGUAUUAUCUCAUUAAAUGUUGGUUCAUUUUUAUGUAUAUAUAGAGAAAGAUGCAAAGAACACAGGGGUGCAGGAGUACCAUGUAACCUGGGCCUUACUGAGGGUGAAGAAUUAGAAUAUGUAAAAGUACUGUCCUAAAAGGGUUCCUGUGUUCUUAGCAUAGACUUCGGGCUCCAGUUACUUCCCCAAAGCUACCAUUGGGGCUUUGCUUCCUGCUUUAAUAGCAGUUUCUUUGCUUUCUAAGAUUUAUUCUGUUUAUUUGUUUGAUUUUUGUUUUUGUCGUUUUGUUUUGUUUCGUUUUCGUUUUUGUUUUUUCCUUUCAACAGAAAUCUUUCCCACAUACCAAGGUCUGGGCUAGAAAGAAGCUAUCCCAACUUACUUUGCCCUAUGAGUGUUGUGUUUCUGGGAUUCACUGAGGAAUUCACAUACUUAGGUUCCUGGUGGAUAGUAGGGGGCUGACGCAUCCUGGUGACGUCACUAAGGUCUCAGAUACUUGGGCUCAAAAUUGCUCAGGCUAAAUGUGUUCAUUUGUGCACCCCACCCCCAAAGAAGCAUUUCUCAGGUUGUGGCUGCUUCUCUAUGCCAAUUGGCCUGCAGAGUACUGACCCACAUGCUGUACCUCACACAGAGGUUUAAAUUAGGACCUUUAAUCUGUAAGAGGCUUACAGCUUGUGGAUAGCCAGCUGCUCUGGACUUGAUGUGGGCAGAACUGAGCUUUGCCUGGCUGUUGUGGGGUUCAGUAAAUCAUGAAGGUAGAUGGUUUGGUGGCAGGAGCCACAGACCCUAGGAGUAGGUGAGUAGGGCCUUAUUUGAAGGAAUAGGACAAUGGCUUGUCCUCGUUGUAACAGAAAGGAAGCACAUAGUGCUAUGGUUGGCUGCUGGUUCCUCCUGAGCAUUCAACCAGAAUACAGUUACCUCUGCAAAACACGUGCUUUCAUCUCACAAAUGUGAGCCUGGUAUGUCCAGCACAAUGCCAUUCUGUGGCAUUGUGAAAUAUUCAUCCACAGGUCAAAUAUUUUAUUUGGCUGGUAGCUGUUCCUUCAGCCAAAUAAAAACUCCAAAAUCAUAAGCAUGUGGUAUUGUUAGAAACACUGAGAAAGGAGACAGCCUUGAGCACUGAAUGGCAGGAUUUAGGAGUUGAGGUGAAGGCAAGGCAUGGAAGGUAGGAGGAAGGUUGUGAAUUGGGACAGAGAAGAUGGAUAGGCCGGCCAUCCAUCAGACACUAGGAGCUUUAUCUCUUGUUCAUGGCCUCUCCCUGAAAUGCCUUGUCAGCCUCACGUACUCUCAUUCCAUGGCUUAGACCUAGCUCUUGGGUUCCUCCUUUCCCCCUACAUAUUGUUAUCAUGCUUCCUAAUUUUUAUUGAGUACUUACUACGUACCAAUGUUCUGCAUGUGGUACAUGGAGCCUCCUAUUACAUAGUCAUAGCAAUCUUGCCACAGGUGCUUAGUAUUUAGGAGGCACUUCAGAGCCAGCAAGAGUUGGUGUGUAAAGAUUAAAUUUCUUGUGUCUGGAAUCCAUGUUACAACAUCUUGAAGACUACAUUCCCAGAAAGCAGAAGGCCAAUUCCCAAACCUGUGGUUGACAAACCUGUGCACACAUUCAAGUUCCCAGAGGUCUCCUAAAGUGUAUAAAGUCCAGACUGGGUACCCAGUGGUCUUGUGGCUGGGGAGAGAUUGCAAGGGCAUCAGGAAUUUCAGGGCUUCCUGGUUGAUUCCACUGUGGAGGCUGAUUUAGGAACUGAAGCGUAAUCUUAUGUCAAGGCCUCUAGUAUCUGACUGAGUAUAUUCUGUCUUCAAGUUUUCCACAGUAUAUAUGCCAGGCCCCUCCUCCAUUCCUGUAUGGGGGGUGACUCUUUAUUCACUCAUUUGGUGACAGGGGAUCUAUCCUGCCACACCCUAACACACAGUAUCCUAGAGAGUGACAUGUGUACAGCAGAGUGGACCUGGAAGGAUGAUUUUCCUGGAGCCAGCAGCCCUGUUUUCUCUGAAUGAAACCUUGAGUACAGAGCCUACUGACAAAGCUCAGGAUAUCUCUGACUGGUUUCUCACAUCUUCUACUUUCCUGGGCUCCUGCCUUCCAUGGGGAAGAGAGAGGGUCACAUGAGGGCAUAUCUUAACAAGUUCUGUUCCUCCCUGUCCCCAGCUGAACCUGAAAUGGACACGAAGUGCAGAGUCGCUGGGGUGGCUGGGAGCAACCCUAAAUUUAGCAAAACUGUAGCUGUUGGGGGGCCGGCCUGCAGGAUGCCAGACCCAGCUGAGUGGACUAGAUUUAUAGCCAGCAAAGGGGUUAGUAUUGUCUCUGCUUAGUGUCAUAGGUAUACUGGGCAAUUGUGAGGUUAUGUAGCAUAAGCCAGAAGUUUGUUGGCCUGUUCUAUAGGGCUCCCUAGGUCUGCCCUUGGAGACAAGGCUUCAUCCAUACUAAGGAAACCGUGUCCCUUGGGUUUUGGUCUUCUAUCUACCCACCUAUCCGCCCCUCACUACUAGUGGUCUGGAGUUCUUACAGCGUAGCCCCACCUUGGACUGUAGAUAUUUUUCAUGCCUGUUGGUAGGCUUUGCUAAACUUUUCCCCAAGGUCCCGGAGAGAAGACCCGCUCUUCAGUAGAUUCCUUUCAAGGCAUCUGGCUUCUAGGAUAACUUUGGUCAGGACAGGGGUUGGGAGAAGAAGAGCUGAGAUGGCCAAGCAGGGUGUUAAGGCCCAAGAUUCUCUUUUUUUGACUCCUAGAAAGUGAACCAGCUGGUAAUGGCUGUCUGCUUAUCGCCCAGAGUCAGUUGUGAUGGUUUGGAGUCCAAGUCUUGGACAGUUAAGGACUUCUCUGUGGUCAGCUACGGCCUGUGUUCUGAUGUGAAGUGGUUUAAGAACUGAAGCUGAAUCUCUGUAUUUCAAGGUCUCUGGCAUUAUAUUCUAAGUUUUCCACAGUAUAUAUGCCAGGCCCCUCCUCCAUUCCUGUAUGGGGGAUGACUCUUUAUUCACUCAUUUGGUGACAGGGGAUCUAUCCUGCCACACCCUAACACACAGUAUCCUAGAGAGUGACAUGUGUACAGAGGGGUGGACCUGGAAGGAUGAUUUUUCUGGAGCCAGCAGCCCUGUUUUCUCUGAGUGAAACCUUGAGUACAGAGCCUACUGACAAAAGCUCAGGAUAUCUCUGACUGGUUUGGAGGAAGUGGCUUGUGAGAUUAGAUAGAGUCUGUGGGUAACAGACUUGGGACUCUGUCCUCCUACUCCUCAGAUCUAAUGGUGAUUGCUUGGCCAAAGGAGCCUCUGUCUCCUUAGUGUCCCAGAUGAUAACCUGGCCGAGAUUUCUCAAAUCUUUCAAAGUGGGUGAUUACACUGUUUGUCAGAGCUGGGAUCAUGUCUCUGUGAUAAGAUUUGCUAGUAUAAUUCAGUGUCUCAACCAGGAGUGUUGGACCACUGCCAUAAUCUUUGUUCUCUUUCCCUACCCCCAUGUGUACAGGAGUCUUGAUGGAGAAGUACUUCAGUGUCUUACCAUAAUUGUAUCCAGAAAGUUGUUUGCAGGUACUUUUCACAGCUCCAGCCCCUUUAGCAUUCUUAUUCUCCAGGCUGGUCACAUGGACUGCACAAGGGUUCAUUCCUUGGUUCAUUCAUGCCAAGCAUGUUAACGAUGCUGGCAAAUUUAGGUGCUGAUACCUUUAAGGAUAACAAGGAAGCCAUUCCAAACAGGCCUCGUGUGGGAAUGAUUCUAGUCUAGCCUAGAGCUGUUUUCCUUUUUUCUGUAGUUGAAUUAUUUGUUCUGCCUUGCAGAACUUCUGCUUGCUGAAGUUCUCUUAAAUACAGGAAACGCAUACCCUGGAGAACAUGAUACUGCUUCCUAGAUAAAAGACCCAACCUUUUGCGAGAUGUGUCAGUGGCCCUCUGCAACACUCAGCAGCCAUCAUGUCUUUUAGUUAUACAUCUAUAACUAAAAAGUUAUAAAAGUUGCUUCAUGCUGCUCCCCAAGCAGGGCCUCUGCUGGUUCUGGGCAGCAAAGGGAAGGGACCUUGUACAUAUUCUAGAACAUGAUAAUUUUUUAAAGUAAGGGAUAGGUGUCAAGCUUUUUUCUAUGUAGUCUCAUUUUCUGUACUCUACAAAUUGCAUGUCAGAGUGAAAAUGUGAGUGAUCCCUUGUGACUAGGAAAGAAAGAGGGAAGGAAUGGAGGUCAGCAGGGCAGAAGCUGAGGGACCUGGGACCUGGGGGAUGUGCACAUCUCCUAUUGGGUGCUUCAGACCUCCGUGCCAACAUUUUGCUGCUUGGCAUUUGCUGUGUCUCUUACGCUCACCAUGCUUUCCUGUCCUUGGGAGCAACACAUGCUUUUCUUGUGGAAAAGUUGGCAGUUAGUACGAUACUUUUGCCCCAAAGAGUGGAUAUCAUUCACAAAGGGUGUUUGGGUGCCUGUCUUUUUAACAUUCUUCCCUUUGUUAGUGGAAAUCACCAGGGAUCGUUGUAUGGCAGAAAUCCUUGGUGUUCUUCAAGUUCAGGUCCAUUGCUAGCUGUCUAUUAUGGGCAACCGAGGUGACGUUUAUGGGUUCUGGAGCUGUCUCAGCUGUCAAGUAGGCUGGCAGAACCAAAAGUUGCAGGAGGCCUGAUCAGUGAAGGCAAGCAUUUGAUUGGAUCAAGCAGAUGAGUAUGUAUAUUUAGAAACUCACCCCAGAGGGAGAACCCUGGCUAAGCCUGCCUGCCCAUCUUUGCUGCAGGUCAGAGCACUCCCAGGCCACAUCCUCUUGUCCUAGGCCAGAUGAGGUCAUUUCCUUAUGUACCCAAGACUGCCUACACCCAACCACUGUUUCCUGUUUUGGGUCAGGAAGUGCAGGUCACUUACUCCUCUUGUGACCUCAGGGUGGCUUUUGCUCAUCGACCAGAGUUUUCUUUUCCUCACAGUUCAAAUCCAGAACAUGUCGUGGACUCCGCCUGUGCCUUCUUCUCUGACCUAAAUCUUUGACAGCCACUGGGAAUUACAGCCCUGGAAUACUGAUUUCAAAUUAUGGAUUUACUGAGUUCUUUGGUCUUGUUUUUAACAAAUCCCCAGCCCCUUGCUUCCACCACUUCUAUCUCAUUAAUAAAUUUUAUUUCUUACAAAAGUAACUCCAUUUCACUAUAUUCAUAAAACACAAAUCCAUCUUUCGACUUACUCCCAAAAAGUAUAAAUUUUGACAGAAUUUUGAAAGCAUUUUUUUCCUAUUGGAGUAGUGUAAUGUCAGAUCUCUGCCGUAUCUUAAAAUGGUGGAAUGUGCUUACAAGUCUAUUUGUGGCAUUUGAGUUUUGCUUUUUUGUUUGUUUGUUUGGUUUGGGGGUUUUUUGUUUUAUUUUGUAGCAGGGACAGAAGGCAUUGAAAUUAAUUGUUGGUUAAAAAAAUCAGCCUAUUUGUAUAAAAGUCGAUUUUCUUCCAGUUUAUAAAAACACAUUUAAAAGCUUUGCCAUUAGUUUAUUUUUCAUAGUGUUUUUACUGACCUAAAAUAUCCAUGAAAAAACAAAACCAUAUAAUGUGUUCAGCAAAAGGUGUACAUAGCCUGUAAACAGCUCCAAGAUAAGGAAAAAAGAUGGAAAUAUUACAAUCUCCCAAAGAUGCUCCAAAGUAUUUUCUUGUUACUCACUACCUAUCUAAGACUGAAUGCUAUCUUGCAUACUACUGGACUAUUCUUACCUAUUUUAAAUCUUGUACAAAUGAAAUCUUGAAGAAUCUCUCCUUUGUAGUCUGACUUCUUCUAUUCCUUUGUGCUUGUAAUAGUCAUCAUAUUAUGUGCAAUUUCCUUGGAAGUGUAGUAUUCUGUAUUAUUUACAGACCACGGUAGGUACCUCUGAUACUGUGGUGGAAGAAUGUAUUUGUUCAUGGCUUUUGGUGAAUGAAUAUCAAUACAUAUUUAUACGUUCUGAACAUAUUUAAUUAUGAGAACAUCACUGAGUAGACAUAACUUAGUUCUGUAUUUUCUCUACUGUUAACCUAAAGGUUGUUAUAUAGGAUGUAACUAUGCAGCCCUGGAAACAUGCAUGCACAUGUGUGCAAAUAUGCACUUAUGUGUGUACAUUUCUGUUGUAUAUGCUUAGAGUGGAAUUGCUAGGUCGUAUUUUUAUGGUACUAUCAGAGCAGCUAUACCAGUCAUAUUUCCAGCAGCAAAAUAGGAAAGUUCCAGUUGUCCCAAGUCUUUACCAGUACUUGAUGGUAUCUUCUUUCUCGUGCUAAUUGUGAUAGAUGCUGUGACCUAAACAUACACUUUUAACACUUAACCUCACGCUCAUUUUUAUAUUAGGCUUUGCCCAUAUUAUUCUCACUAUUUUGUUUGAAAUUCAGUACCGAUAUAUUUAUUGUAAACACUUUCUCCUUCCUAGUCUACAUCCUUUCAGGUUCACCCCUUGAAAGUACUAGCUUUGUAUAAAGUACUGUGGAGGGUGUCUUAUUGCUAGCCAUGUUGAAGUUGGGCCACAUUGAUCAAAAUCACCUACAAAGAACUCCUGAGGUAUUGGUUAUAUAGAGUAGAACAGGAUUUCUUCAGGUUAUCAGCAUAUGAAAACCGGUAUGCAAAAUGAAUUUGAUCUACCUAGCCCAUAUAAAAGACAUACAAUCCUGUUUUUUUUAUUUACAAGCUGUAAGACUAGAUUUGGCAGGCUUUGAGCUAUUCUAGCUUACAUCUCAGCCAUAUGACCCCUGUUACUUGCUAUUUCUCCUGGCCAUAUGCUCAUGAUCCAUUUCCUCUCUUUGUCUCCUUUCUCCUCCGCAGGCUCUUCUCCUUCUCUGUUCUCUCCUCAGACCCAUCACUCAAUCUUCAAGUCCCACCUUCUCUCCUUACUGCCCAAUCACAGGGCCUUUUAUUAACCAAUUAACUUUAAACUGGGUGUAGGGUUGGUGUAUGUGAGGAUCUCAGGACAACCAAAUCUUAGAGGCCAGUAUUUAGCAUUUGAAUACAUAGCAGCACCAGGCCAAACCCCCAACACUGAUACCUUUGGGACACAUCAGGAUAAAAAAGUUAAGUGUUUGCUGUGUGCCAUGUGGUAUUCUAGGAACUUCACAGAGGCUGCUCCAUUCAUUCCUAAAUAAAUCUGGUUUGUUGAGUGCUAUUAUUGUUAGAAACUGCCCAUAUUCUAGAAUCAGGUGUUCCCCCUAGUCCACAUUCAGUGACUCAGUGCCAGCAGCUAUGUCAUCGCCAGCCAUCAAAUGUGACAUAUUUCCACUGUCCAUACAAGUCUUACCCCUAUAAAGUUCUACCAUCAUACCCUCCCUCAUCCCCACUCAGAGGCACCGCCUCCCAAUAAAUCUCUUGCAUGAUAUGACUUUGUGGUAUUCCAUGGCCCUGACCAAGGUACUCUUCCACUUCAAAAUCCUAAGUUACUCCAUAUUGAAUCAAUCAAUCAAUUAAUCAAUCAAUAACUCAGAGAAGCUUUAUAAAUACCCAGAGUCACAAAGCUGGGAUUCUGGCUUACAGAGUGUAUGCUCUUCAUGCUAUUCUGUGCAUUUCAUUGUACAGAACUACAUUUCCCAGCUGUUGUUCUACUAUGGUGCCAGUCUAUGAGUGCUCAGUAAAUACCUCUUGAAGGAAAGAAUUCAACAAUGUAUUGGAUACUCUUUACUGAAUAGGGAAAUUUGUCCUGGCAGUGGGCUGCUAGUAUGAGACGUAGUAGUAUUCCACAGUGCUGUAUCUUUGCUUGCAAUAGUACUUGUCACUGAAUAGACAGAGAACAUUGAUGGAGUGGAAGAAAUCAGUGUACAGGUAAUGGGUCCUGCUUGGUGGAUGUGGGAACUCAGCAGGCAGCAUAAGGACCAAGGCUAAGGCAAGCAUAUCAGUUGGGGCUAUAGAGAUGGCCUGGAAACAUUCAGUCUAGCUCAAGUAUUCUGGUUGUAUAGCAACAGGACAGCCAAGCUUGUGGUCAAAAAUCAAGGUGCUCUAUCAGCAGGAGAGGCCAUCCCACUUAUUGACAGUCAGACUAGUAGCAGUCUCAGCAGGUGUGCAGGGCUAGCAGGAAUUGAGGUCAAGUAAAGAUUUCAAGGUUCGAGGCAGUAAAAUUCAGGGUGGUUGGAGAGAGCCAGGAGUACCAUUGCCAGUCUGGACUUCCCUCCUGAAUAGGGCCUUUCUUCUUGAUACUGUGUAAUCUUAGAGGAAUGUAUUAAACUCAGGAGGAGCCUUAGGUCAGGUUGAACCAGAUGAAGCCCCUGUGCAUAUCCUGUCUGACUCUUCAUUUGAUAGGUGAGGAAAUUAAAACCCCAGUGAGAGGUUAUUCAGUAAUUAGCAGAGCGAGCACUAGAAGCAGGCCCUACGGAGUUUUUCCUACAUUCUUAUGUUUUAUGUCAAAAAUUAAAAGCUGACGAGAGUUGUAGUACUGACAAGGAGGGAAGACUGAGGGAAAGGCUUUAAGAGGUAAGAUGGGUUUUAAUAUGGGGGAGGAGAAGGUAUACAGAAACACCUUGCAGGCUAGAGAGCAGCAGGCUAGGCUGGGAUUGGGAUAAGGAAGCAACUUAGAAAAUAUCUUUAGUCUACAUUCUAGAAUGUAGGUACCACAAGGAUAGUAUCCUUUUCAGUUUUAUUGAAAUAGGACUUACAGAGAAGUAAAACGUGCUAAAAAGUGAGCAGUAGUGUUGAGUAAGAAGUAAGGGUUGUAGUGGAAGGGGAAGCCCUUGGUCCUGCCAAGACUGAACCCCCAGUGAACGUGAUUGUUGGGGGGAGGGUGGUAAUGGGGGGAGGAUGGGGAGGGGAAGCCCAUAGAAGGGGAGGGGGAGGGGCUAGGGGGAUGUUGGUCCGGAAACCGGGAAGGGGAAUAACCAUCGAAAUGUAAAUAAGAAAUACUCAAGUUAAUAAAGAUAAAAAAAUUAUAUUUAAGCUGAAAAAUCUUGAUCCAUACUUUAAACCUAGCAAAGGCAGGUGAAUUUGAGUUUGAGGCCAACCUGAGCUACUUCAUAAUACUCUGUCUAAAAACAAACAAACAAAUAAAUUUGUGUUCAUUUACCAAAAAGAAGAAGAAGAAGAAGAAGAAGAAGAAGAAGAGGAAGAGGAAGAGGAAGAGGAAGAGGAAGAGGAAGAGGAAGAGGAAGAAGAAGAAGAAGAAGAAGAAGAAGAAGAAGAAGAAGAAGAAGAAGAAGAAGAAGAAGAAGAAGAAGAAGAAGAAGAAGAAGAAGAAGAAGAAGAAAGGGUUGUACCUAGACUUACCUGAGACUUUCAGGCUUCUCUUUCUGCAGAGCCUGGGAAAAUGUAGGACUGGAGACCCAAAGAAAGAACUCCUAAGAUGCUCCCGUGUCAGUAUCCACAACUUCCCCUGACCUGGGGACCAACUUUCAGGGAUUCUCAAGUAAACAGUGACAUCACAGUGCACCUGGCCUCCACGUGAUAUUCUAAGAGUUUCUGUGUAUUUGCUCAUUGAAACUUAACAGUAACUGCAGAGUAACUGUUAGAUUUGACAGACGAGGAAACCGAGUCUCAGGUAUAAUAUCUUUCCCUCAGAAGUAUGCAGAAGCAGAAUGUGUUUGCCAGUUUGAGGAUUUGGCACCAGUACCAUGUGUAGGGCUUCUGGAGCUUAGCAUCUGACUGACUGGUUACUAGAUUUUACCCUGUUGAAGUAGCUGACCUGGUGUUUCAGGAAGGGGCCUGCUGUCAUCUGUAGAUGACUUGUCAAGUAGGAAAAAGUGACCUCCAGCAGAAAAAGCCGCAAAGCUUCUCAGGCAGGGGUCAGGCCAUCCAGAAUCCCUGGACAUUUCCUGCUAAGGGUCACAAGGACCUUACCUUAGCCUUACCUAGUGGGGACACUGAUGCCUGGCCCUCAUGCUACUGUUCUCCAAUGGCUACUUUCUCUGACCCUCUCACACCUGUGAAGUUUAGUGCAAUGAGUGGGGAAUACCUGGAGAUCUAGGGUCUAUCCUCAGUUCCCUUUGAACUAUUCAGAGACUUUGGGCAUUUCCAGGUUCCCGUCUGCAGGAGAAGGUUGGUUUGAAUAGUGGUUUCUAAAGGAAAUAUAGAACAUUAUCUUCAAACAACAUAUUAUUUAGAGAUAGAGAAUAUAAAACAAUAAAAUAAAUAUAGAUUUUGAAAGAAUAAGAAGAGGAAGAGAUGGACUAGGAAAAGGAGAUCAGUUCAUUAGACUUGGUUCAGAAUCACAGCUCGUGCUGUUGUCCUUUUUCUGCCCUUUUCUAUAUAUGGCUUCUGCCCCUCAACUUUGUCUUUGUUCUGUCUAGUUUUAUGGAGGGUUUUGAAUUCCUCUGAGUCUUAAGCUUCUCCCUUCUUGUGGAAUCUCACUACUGCUGCUGAUUUCUUUAGUUCUAAAUUCCUAUUGCAUUUAUCAACCGUUCCAUUUACUUAAUUCUACAUAUUGCCUAUUGAUUGCCUUAAAAAAUGCAUAGGGUUUUUUGGUUAUAUAUACACAGCAUGCGUUGAAAUUUGCAUUUGUACAUAUGUAUCUACAUCUCCAUAUGUAUGAAUUUAUAAAUGCACAAGGACUUGCACAUACAGGUCCUUAAAGAAGAACCAUGUGUUAGAAUCCAUAAAGCUGUACCAUGAGACAUGUCUUAUGUGAGAGGAAAGGGGGGAGGGGGAGGAGGAAUAGGGUCUUUUAUCAUGGGAUGUAGCACAUGCACAGAAUGUGGACAUGGGACACGAGGGGACAGUGGGAAUGUCUUACCUCUCCAAUAGCAUGUCCUGUUGUUGCUGGGUCCCUUGGGCUGGCUGUGGAAGUGCCUGAUUACUAACACCAUGAACUUUGUUCCCUAGUGCCUGAUAUAUAAUCAAAAUGGCUCACCAGAAAAAUUUUGUAAUCAUUGAGUUGUUUUCAGUGGUAUCCUAAAUAUCUUGUACAUUUCAGAUACUCGAUUAAGUAUGAUUGCUUAGAUGGUGAUUUGUAUCUGGGAAGUCUUGGACUUGACUUGCUUCUGUCUUGGACUAACUUUGAAGUCCUUAGGACACAUAUGUAACUUCUGAGGUUGGAGUGAGGUGCUGGCAUUCCUGAGGUACUUACUGAAGGCACUAUUCUAGUUACUGGGAAUUCAGCUGUUUGUACAACAGUAGUCCUAUGGUAGAGCUUAUCUACAGAAAGAACCCCGACGUGCUUCCAUGUAUCCACAGCUUCCUGUGCCAGUGCUGACCUGGGGACCAGCUUCCAGGGAUUCUCAUAGGGUAGGUAUUUGUUUUUAUUUUCUAAAUUGAUACAGUGUUUUGUUCACAUUUAUGGAAUAUAGUGUAGAAUACAUGUGAUCAAAUCAUAAUGAUUAGCGUUUUUAUGUCCUCAAACAUUUAUCAUUUAUUUUUAUGUGUCUUAGGGUUUCCAUUGCUAUAAGAGACACUGUGACUAAGGCAACUCUUAUAAAGGACAUCAUUUAAUUGGGGUUGGCUUACAGGUUCUAAGGUUCAGUCCAUUUUCAUCAAGGUGAGACGCCCAAUAACAUCCAGUCAGGCAUGGUCCAGGAGGAGCCCAGAGUUCUACAUUUUGAUUAGAAGGCAGUAAAAAGAAGUCUGUGGGGCUGGGGAUUUAGCUCAGUGGUAGAGCGCUUACCUAGGAAGCGCAAGGCCCUGGGUUCGGUCCCCAGCUCCGAAAAAAGAAAAAAAAAAAAAAAAAAGAACCAAAAAAAAAAGAAGUCUGGCAAAGUUUAUCCCCACAUUGACAUACUCUCUCCAACAAGACCACACCUAUUCUGAUAAGGACACAUCCUAAUAGUAUCUUGUAGGCCAAGCAUUCAAACACAUAAAUCUAUGGGGGGGCGGGGGACAAACCUAUUCAAACCAUUGUCUUUUUUCCAUCCUUCUCCUUCUUCCCUUCUCAGAUCCUGGAAAUCACUGUUUUGCUCUCUAGUUACCAAUUUUUAAAGCUCUUAUCUAUGAGUGAGAAUGUGUGCUACCUGUCUCUCUUUUCUGGCUUAUUUUACACAUAAAAUUAUGAUGACUAUUUUCAUCCAUUAUUGUUAAAAAAAUUGUAGUAUCAAAUUAUUUUUUAAGACUAAAUAGUGUUCUAUUGUGUAUAAAUACUACAUUUGUUUAUCCAUUUCUCCAUCAUUGGGCACAGAGGUUAAUUUCCAGUUUUAGUUAUUGUGAAUAAUGCUACAGUAAACACAGGAACUGUAAGCAUCUCUCUACUAAGGGUGAUUUUUGAGUGCGUUGAAGUUGACCUUUCCUUCAGCUUCCUUAUCUACAAAGUGAUGAUGAUAUUAAUAAUACUUACCAUAGGGUCAUGGAAAGUAUUGAAUGUUCAUAGACAGGCUUAAAACAGUGCUUUAUUAAUCUUACAUACUCUUUGUCAGUAACUCUUAUUGUCUGUUACAUUUUGUGGCAUUGGUGGGCUUGUCUGACUUGUAUGUGGUCCUGGACUUGUUUAUAAAUAAGAUGUGCCUUACAUUUCUUAUUGCCUGUCCUUAUCUCAAUGCUUGUUGUCUAGUGAACAUUCUGUUAAAAAAAAUUGAAGGAACUGUGACCUUAGGAUGUAGGCAGAAAUGAGUGAGAAAGAUUGAGGUGGCACUGGAGCAGACAAUUUGUAGGAAAAUGAAGGGGAAAUGAUAGAAGGGCAGAUUUGGACCAAAUGAUGGCAGGUAGGUUUGCCCCUGGGGAAUUGAGUAUAGGAAAGAUGUGAAGGGUCACGAUUAUAGAAAAGUUGCUGAUAGAAGUUUCUAGACUGAGUUGUAGGAGAGAGCCUGGCCAUAGCAAGGUGGUUAGGAGGGUUCUGGGACACAUGGCUACAAGUCACGAGCUGUGUGGGCAGGAACAUUCUGCCUGCUCUCGCUCUCCCUCCUCCUUAGCUCAGUACUAGAGGAAACCGUAACCUUCUCAUUAUGUCUAUCCCUGACUGUUCCUGGGCCCCAUACUUUUCUAUGUCUUAUUCACCCAGACAUACCUUGUGCACAUUCCCAGGUUACCACACCUUGUGCUUCAUGAGUCCUUGUACCAUAGACCCAAUGCUGCUUUAGUCCCUCUCACUCUCCAGCCUCUCUGUUUCUAUUAUUUUCAUCUUAAGUGAGAACACUGAGGCAUCUAGAAGUAGGCCAUAUGCUUUUAUUUGUUAUUCUCACCAAAGACAAGCCUUUUCCCAAGUCCCAGGAGCUAGACCCCAGGAGAUGGUGUGAGGAGGAAUUGGAGAAGCCUAAGGAGACAAAGCUUGGAAGACACUCAUGACCUGGGUGCUCAUUUUGUUUCUGCCUGGCCACAGUGCUCUCAGCUUUUGCUUGUCUCACUGGUUCUGAAAUACAUUGAAUUCAGGAUGAAUUCUAUAUCCUCAUGGUGGUUGUGGCCAGAAGCCUGGUCCCAGCUUCUACUGGCUACUAUGGAGUGGUCAUACCUCCUCCCUAUGGUACUGGGCUCUGUCCUAACAUCUUGUGGUUCUGGCCACUGUUGUUUGAAGGUAAACAGAAAAAUAGGGAUAUAUCUUUAAAGGAUAUAUUGGCACAUAAGAAGUUUCUAUUAGCCUUCAAUUAGUGCCUCCUAGAUACAGGAACCUGCUGUAAUUUACACACAGAGUUGAGAACACCAUUGCUUCUGCUUAAGCAAUGGUGUGUGAUGAGAACAGACAUUUAUUAAAUGUUUAUUGUGGGCUGGGCACCAUGCCAAGCACCAUGCAUAGAUAUCUCACCUACAUCUUAGCCUUUCGCUAUGGCUGUUUGCCACAGAUCUUAUUAGUGCUGCUUCAUGGAUGAAGAAGAUCUCAUGGAUGGCUUCGUGUAGCACAACCAAUGUGAGCCUUCCUGACCUCUGACCCUAUUUACCAUUGCACUCUCUGCUUCCGCUCAUACUAUGGAUGCCAGAGAGGAGGGAUUAGAUUUGGAAGUCUCGGGUUAAGUUUAUUAUGGAAUUUUUUUUUUUGGUUCUUUUUUUCGGAGCUGGGGACCGAACCCAGGGCCUUGCACUUCCUAGGCAAGCGCUCUACCACUGAGCUAAAUCCCCAACCCCUUAUUAUGGAAUUUAAGCCAUUUGGCUGAUCUCCUUUUUUUUUUUUUUUCAUUCACUUACUCGUAAACUAAACAAUUUUAUACUUAUAUAUUUCACAAGACAUCCUUAAGAGAGUAAAUCCUAAUUUGCCAUGAAAGUAUUUCACACACUACUUUAAUUAAUUUAGUAAAAAUAAAAAUUACUUAAAAGUAUAACAUUAUAAAAGAAAGGUUCAGAGGCAUUGUUUUACUCUGGUGUGUGUGUGUGUGUGUGUGUGUGUGUGUGUGUGUGUGUUUAGUAUUGAUGCACACCAGGGGUUGUAAGGUAUGUAAAUAAGGAACUGUUGAUCUGGGAAGGGCGCAGCCAGCCCUGUGAAGUGACUGCCUGUUGAUUGCCAACUGUGCCUCCGUGACAGGCUCACAGUUCUGACCUAUGUAGUAGGACCAGCUGUGUGAGGUGGCAAAUAUUUCCAGCAGCCCAAUGUGGAGUGAAUCAUGAAGUCAUGUUCAUUGUGAGGUGGUUGCUGUUUGGUUAGAUUAAAAGCAUGGGGAAGCAAGUUAGAUACUUAGUCUUAAUUAAAGGCUCUGCUAGGAGAGGGGCAAGGACAGAAUCCAUGUCUAAAGGCAGUGGCAUGAAGUUGGACACCUAGAAAGAGUUCUACACAAGCAGACUUCUACUGUCCCACAUUCCUAGUGCUGGUAUCAGUAAGGAACAGGGUCAUGGGCCAGCAAGAAGGAUUAUGAGGAAGGCAGCCUCUGCCCAUGCUCCUUCUGCAGGCCUUAAGGCUAUGGCUAUGUCUUUGGGUCUAAGCAACCUCCAAAUAACUGAAAGUAGGGAGUAUGCCAUGGUGAACUUUUCUUCAUCUUCUUGCCCAAGGUAUAAUUUUAUUUUAACGUCUUACUUGGUUCUGUGUAAGUAAAAAAGGAGACAAGAGGUGCAGUCUUGAGUGCAGUGAAAUGCUGGGGCAGCUUGCUGGAACAGACUUUUUAUAUAAAGGUGUAGCUUAUAGGCUGAAAGUGUCUAGUUAGUAGAAUCUUGGCAUUUUGUAAUUCUGAAUAUAAUGCUUAUAAGUAAGCCCCAAAGAAACUGUCCUGUCUUCCCUUCGCUGUGUUUACUGGUCCAUUCAUCCAGUAGAUGGUUGCUGGAGAUAGUUAUGGCCUACUUGAUAAGCUUCGGGCGCUAUAAGACACAGUUCAAGUUCAUGCAAAGCAUCUCAGCAGUGAGACUGUUUUAUAACUGUCCCUAAAUCAUGUUAGCUCUGGAAGCUAUUUUAGGAAUGCCUUUGGUUAUGAACCAUAUCUUAUAUUUAAUUUUGAUUCUCUUUUCCCUCCUGCCCUGGAUUUGGUAGCAGCACUAACAAACACUGUAUGCCUGGCCUUGUCUUAGUUGUGGGAGGUACUUAGAGCUCACCAGUUCAUCCAAGCUGCCACCUACAGUCAUCAUGACCUUGGACCUUGGACCUGAGUUUCAGUCUCCGGUUCUGAAGUGCCAGGACGAAGACAGCGAAGUGGAGAACUUUGCUGCUUUUUGAUCUUGGGUCUGUUUGUGCUUGUAAUAGACUUUCAGACUACCCAUGAUAUAUAAAAAUGUAUGAAGCUCUGUCUUCCCACCUGUUUUUUUUUUUUUGAAACUAAGAAUGGCUCCUUCCCCUUCAUCUACUACCUUACCAUGUAAAUUCAGCAUUAUAUUGUCUCCUAGCAGAAAUUAUAGUGUACAGCCAUAGGAAACUACCGGAAUCUCGAGGGUUUGAUUUGCUCGGUAAGAGUUGGUUUGAUUUUGUCAAUGUAACAGGACAUCUGAUAUCUGUGCCUGUGCCUAGAGUUGGUACAAAGGAAAAGGAAGUCAAAUAAAACAUCUCUUAGAGAUGAUUUAGGCUUGUACUAUUUUUAUGGAAAAAAGAUAAUUUUAGCAGAAUCUUCUAGAGGGUGAUAUGAGUGCUGGGGUUUGUGGCUCCAUAGGUUGGUCCUUCUGCUAUUGCUUCUCCCUUUCUAGAAGUGAGAGUUGGGAGACAAAGAGGUUCUGACCAAAGGAAGGGGACAAUAAUAGAAACCUCAGAGGACCAGUGUGGCACGAAAGGAGCUCUGUAGCUAUUCCCAGUGGGCUGUGGAAUGUAGGAGCUGUCCUUUUGACAGGAAGUCCCAUCUAGCAAGUACUCAUGGGACCUGUAGUUAAGUUAGCUUUAGAAAGACUGACAGUUCUAAAGCUUGUCCAGGCCUACCUAUGCAAAGCUCCAGACUCACUGGCAGCACCAGCUGAGCUCCAUGGGACAUGAGAUGUCAUGGCAACACUAUCAAAUUCUAGAUUUUAUAUUGGCAUUUGGAGAAGAGAGAAUAAUCAUUGUCACAAGCUUGUAACUUAAAGAAAGAGUGCACUGCACACAAGAAUUCAGCAAUGGCUUUUUUUUUUUCCGGUCCUAAGGAUUGAACUUAGGGCCUUAUGUAUGCUAGUCAAGAACUCUACCACUGAGCAGGAGAUAUUGGGGGCAGGGAGGGGAGUUUCAGGGUAAGAAGGGAGAGUCGAGGCAGCCACAGUACCUCUGCUGAAGAUCAGAAUCUGUGAGGCCUUAGGUGGCUAGGCCAUUUCAGAAGUCUGUCCUAGUCUUAGUCCCAGUUAAGAGGGGGGAAAGUAAGCUAGAAAUAGAUAAGAAGGCUACUGAUGAGCCAAGAAUGCUUGAAGGCCAGAGGAGGUGAGGGGGUUGUUUAACACAUUAUUGUGUAUUUUGAAGGGUUCUACUCUUGGAGCUGUGAAAGCCUUGAGUGGGGUAUCAGGUGGCCACUCCUUUUGUGGAUUCCACGGUGUUCACAUACAAGCAAACAGCUACCUUACAGUUUUGCUGUAGCAAUGGUGACACUUUGGAUAAACAUCAUUUAGCAAAUAUCCUAAGUACUUUAUUUACAGUACAGGGACUCAUCACAGCACUCAGAAGUGUGUGCUGAGCUUGUUAGGCCAAAAGACUAAUUACCUACUCAGGACUCUCCUACCUUCAAUACAAAUACAAAGCCAGUUCUUCUUGGUGCAAGGUAAGACCAGAUGAUAUUGAGGAUUCCUUUAAAACACCUGAAUUCUUUUUUUUUUUUUUAUUUUUUUGGUCUUACGCAUUGAACCCAGGACUUCAUGUUUCUAGGUAAGCAUUCUUCUAUAAAGUUAUCUCUUAAGCCCAAAUCCUACGAUUCUGAAGGCUCUGACUGGAAGGCCACUCUAAGUCAUUUGGAAGGCAAUGGGAGAUCAUUGUGCUUUAGAGCAGGAAUGGUGAUGGUGCUCUAGGGACCUCACUGUGAUUACUGUUUUGUGGCUACAGGGUCGUUGUGAAGGUUUUGAUUAGGAAGGUUUUAUGAGCAAGAGAAUCCAGUGGCUCUUAGGAAAAGGCUUUUCUGGUUAAGAAGGCUGGUGAACCCCAGACUUAGCAUUUCAAUACCUUCUGCUUUCUUUUUCCAGCCUCUGCCCUAUAAUUUGGGCUCAUAGAAGCUCCAGACCCUAGAAACUCCUUAAUUGUGCCUUCAGCUUCCUCCCUAACUCUGCCUCUCCAGAAGGUACAAGCACGUAAAGUUCAUGUAUUCAUCUAGAGAGGCAAAACGACUUGAACCAUCUUGUUUUUGAGGUCAGGUGAGACCAAAGAACUGGCUAUACUUCAUUUCCUAGGUCAUCUGCCUCUGCCAAUGGUAGAGUUCCUCACUUUAUGUUACCUGCGCAGUUCACUGGGAUAAAUGAAUAGUCAUUGUUUUUGCAGAUCUUUCCUUCUAAAUGCUCACCUUGGCCUCCAAAGGAGUUGAAGUUUUCAGAGGGAGGUUGGUGUAUGCUCCUUGCUUCUCAUUUUGCAGGGUAUCAGGGGAGUUUAAAGUGAGAUAACUAGUCUUCAAAGUAUGGUUGGCAUUGCUGCUCAGCCUUUGAGGGGAGAACAAUGGUCUUAGAGCAGAUUCUUAGGCCUAGCUUAAGAAUACCAUCCCAGAGGGCAUCCAGAGAAGAGUAUUGCUCUCUCAUAUUCCUUCCUUCUGUAAUCAUGAGAUUUCCUUACUCUGGUUAACAGCUCUCUUCCCUCAAACUUUAGAACAUAUCUCACAUCAUUAAGCAAUUUGUGGAACUGUGCUUUGGAUAGGAUUUUUACAUUGUGAAUAUAAUUAUAUAAAUAUACCUAUGGUACUAUCCUAAAUGAUUGUGCUAUCACGUUAUAGAUGGUCUAUAGCCCAUUGCCUGUCCAAAUGAUGGCCUUGGCCCUUGAAUUCUUAACUCUGAUCUAGCUCUUCAGGCUUAUGCUUGGUUAUGCUAUGUUCCUGUGCCCUGACCAUAUUUGAUAACUCUUCUCACAUCCUCUGUCUUAGGCUGUGGGUCUGGAAAAUGCUGCCCUGGAUUAAGACUAAAGCAGUAUGGAAUGAAAACUGAAGUUAGGGCUGUAUGUGUUCAUGAGUCUUGAUGUCUAGAUCUGACCCAGUGAAACAAAGAAGGAUUUGUUCUUUAAUAGUUUUCCACUUUAAAAUCACAUGUCACUAAGCUUGUCUGGUCACAUAGGCCAGCAUAUUUUAGAGAGUAUUCAGUUGUCCAGUUUCUAUGCUCUAGAAACAUCAACCUGUAUCCAUAGCAGGCAAGACCUUCAAAUCUGCGGCCUAGUCUGUUCUAUGGGACCGGCUGUAGUCUACUGUUGAAGAAAGGAAUACAGAUCUCUAGUUCUGCUCUACAUGGUCCAGCCACUAAAAGGACCAGGAUUUUAAGAGUAGCCAGCUAAGAGGUUCACAGGAAGUGGGCCUUUGGGCCCUGCAGGUCAAUGGCCAGCAGGUAUCAUCAGGAUAGCAGGUACUAUGGGAUUUUACUUGUAGCCCAGGAAUAGGACAACGGCAGGGAUUUGUGGUUUAAUGACCAGUAGCCUGGGAUUCCUAGAUCCUUUGGCUUCUUUCACUGUCAUAUAAGGUGCUGAGAAAUAGCAUUGGUAGGAAGGACACUUUGGAACCUACAUUUCUGGGUCUGGGAGACAGAGUGACUCAGCCUGUACAAGAGAAAGUACCUGCUUGAGAGCAGAGAGCACACUGGUCACAGUGUCUGCUAUCCCAGUCCUGAUCUUACCCCAAACAUGCCUCCUUCUUAUACAGGCCUUACCCGUAUUCUAUAAGGGGCUCUGGGUGUUGCUGAGUUCAACUCUGUUUGUGUUGUGAAUUUAGAACCUGGCAUAUCUACCAUACAUAGUCAUCAUCCUGCCUUUUCCCUUUGGUCUUCAAGUCUCACCUGUCUUGGGCCUGAAUACACUGGAUUUCAGUUUGUCUUGUCUGGUUAUUUUUAUAAAUAAGAAACGAGGUGUUUGUGCCUGGUCAGUACUUGGAUGGAAGACCAGAUAAUGCUAGAUAUUACAGGACUAUAAAGCUCUUGUAAGAUGUGUAAAAUCAUCAGCAAUGAUAGUUGGCAUCCAUUGAACUGUUUUCUUUGGGUUGAGCUUUGGGCUGAGUGAUUUUGUGUUGUUUCUAAGAAAAAACCACUGAUCUACAGAUGAACUUGGAGCUAGAAGUAUAAAAAAGUUGAGUUGUUCAAAUUUAACUAAUAAAUACGAUAAUUUACCAGUCUGUGUACUUAACAAAUGUUUAUGGUAGGUCAAUAUUGCUUCAAUAGGUCAGUAGUUUUCAUGGUAUCACUAUUAUUAAUUUCAGCAGUUUUUGAAUACUUACAGUACUGGGCUUUCCGGUUCUAUAGGAUAGAUUAUCCCUAUUUUGCUGAUUAGGAAAUGAAGGCUUAGAAGACCAAGGUGACUUACUUUAGGUUGCACAGAUAAGUAGUAUAAAUUGGGAUUGGGCACAGUUAUCUCUAGAAUUCUUAGUCUGCAUUCUAAAUCCUUCUGUUGUUGCCCACAUAAACUAAGACUCGUUUUCUACCUGUGCCUUUCUUCUUGCUUCUUUCUUUAGCUUUUGAUGCUUUUCAUAGCUUAUUUUUCUGCUCUUCCUAUUUUCCUUUUCAGAUUAUGUCUGUCCAAGUGCAGCUUACUGCACGUAAUUGAUUCUUCAAUUUGUGCUUGCUUAAGCCUUAUAAUAGGACCCCUACUGCAAGGAUUGGCCCACUUUUCUCCCCUCUUUCUCCUCUCUCUCUCUCUCUCUCUCUCUCUCUCUCUCUCUCUCUCUCUCUCUCUCUCUUCCCACCCCCCCGACUCCCUCUCUCUUGUGCUGGAGAUUGAGCACAAGACUUUACAUAUACUAGACAAGCACUCUGGCACUGGUCUAAAUUCAAAACCUCCUCCCACUCCCCUUUGAACAUAACACUUUGUAGCAUAGGCCAGCCUCAAACUUAUGAUUCACCUGCCUCUACCUUCCAAGUUAUGAAUUAUAGAUUUAUGCUAUCAUGAUGGCACUAUAUUAUUUUCAACUAAAGGAAAGUAAUAGAAAGCCUAGUAGAUACAUACAUGUGGAAACCCCUGCUUUAUGACAAAGAUAUUUAUGUACUGAUUAGAAGCAGGGAGUAGAUAGACAUUUUGAUGACAAAAAAAAAAAAACACUGCUAGUUCAGAGGGAUAAGAUUGAAGGAAAAAUUAAUCUAGAGCGUAUAAAAUAAUGAUCCAGCAAUAUAAAUGUAAAUGUUAAAAUAAAGCUUCACGUACAAGCUAAGACUAUCUUCAUGAUCUUGGGCUAGACAUUCAGUUCCUAAAGAUGGCACAGAAAGCCCUUAGUAUAAAGAAAAGGCCUGAUAAUUUGGAUGAUUUUAAAAUGAAAAACUUUUAUUAUUAUGACCUCAGUAAAAGGUCAAAAUAACAAGCAACAAGGCAUAGCACCUGAGGGAGCUGGAUUACAUCUAGAAUAUGUGAUCCUUCAGGAAAAGGACUCCCCUUCUAACUCCCAGUGAGCAGAAGAAUGUUCUGCACGUAGGAUCAUGAGUCAUAGACCAUUCCUUCUACAAUUUCCUGGUUGUAAUCUGUGGAUCUUGGAUUAUCGGUUUCUGCUGGCCUCAGACCCGCCUUCCUCUUAUGUACGGACACCAGGCCUUUCCCAUGCUGGCUCGCCCAGCUGUGCCUCUUUUGUUAUGAAUGUUACAUGUCUUUAACUUUCCUUUGGUGUAUAAACUUUGAUCAACUAUUCUAAGAAUUUUUCUCUCUAGCUUCUUUUCCCCGCUUCCUUUUAAAUUUCCCUUUUGUACCUUCUUUUUGAGCUACCAUAAAAUUUCUCAAAAGACUUUGGGAGAGCAAGCUUGUUCCAUGGUACUCUGGAGGCAGAACAAAGACCAAAAGGCUCAUAUUUACCUGUAGAGAAGUUUGGUCAUUGCUGUGCUCUAGUUGUCCAAGUUCUCUAAAGAAGGAUCAGAGUUACUGAGUCACAGAGAGGCAGAAUAAUAUCUCGGUUGCAGUGUUUUCUAUGGAGGGCCCUAUGCCUUGGAUGGUGCUAGAUUAUGAUAACCGUCUUCUGGUCUUACAUAUCUACAGGGGUAGCCCUCGGUGGGAGACAGAGCCAGUAUAGUAACAUGAUCCCUCUCCACUUGUAGAAGUUUACCGUGGGAUUCAAAUGCUGGUACUUUAAUGGUAUCGUGUCUACUAACAACCAUUUUUAAUACAGCAUUCUACUUGUAUCCAUCAACGAUUGAUCUGAAAGCUUUGAUUACCUUUGCUUUCUUCAAUUGGCAAUAAUGGUGUGCUGUUUUUCUUUUGUGGCAUAUUCUUCAAUUUGUUGCAUUUUUCUCUGGCAGUACUUGUUCUCCUUGGUAUUACACACUCAUUAUUGAAUCCGUAAGCACCUUGGAAGUUUUGCAGGUGUAUGUGGAUUUUACAAGGUUUUUUUGGUAGUGUUUGAAAACUUGGGAGUUUAACAUAAACCUAAAUUUCCCUUUUAUAUGAAAAGUUGGGCACUCUGGACUCUGUGAUAUCCAUUUCUAAAUAUCUUUGACCACACAGAGCUGGAGAGGCUGCCUACAAAGACUGGCAUAUGCCUUUUUCUUGGGGUAUUCUUUCCUAGUCUGCUUCUCUUCUUUAUUACUUGCCUGGCUGGCAGACAUUGUAGUUGGUUACUUAAAAAAAAAAAAAAAAAAAAAGGAGAAACUGGACCUCUAUGGGCUAGCCUGAGGAUCGAUCAGUUUGUUUUGCUAUUAGUUCACUGGAAAAACAAAUUCAAACUUUUUAAGAGUAGGCUUUUUUUUUUUUAAUAUCCAUAGUGCAGAUUUGAGAAUGAGUUAGGAUUCUAAGCUGGCAAAUCUGUCUGAGGUGCUGGCCCAUUUCCUCUACUUCUAUAUUGUGUGUUAGUUUAACACUUAAUAAGUACUUCACGAAUGCUUUACCUCCUGAGGUCACAGCAAUUUGUCUACUCCCAGGUUCUUAGCAGAAAUGCUCACCACAUUUUCUACCUAGCUGGUUACUUCCACAGGAGACCAGAUUUGUGUGUAGUCUAUCUGGAAUAUACACUCAGGCCCCAACUGUUCCAAGUGUGUGUUAAGUUCUUGCACAGCUCUCCUCUUUCCCCUAAGGAUCCAAUCUUCCCGAGAUGGGCCUGAUGAGAGAAUAGAAAGGCAGGAACCUAGUUUUGCCUACUAAUGCAGCUAAUGGAGUUUGUAACCAGUACAGAGUACAUGCAGUCCACACCUUGGACAAAGAUAGGUCAAAGUUUAGCUCCCUCCCUUUAAAGAAAAAAAAAAGCAUCUUUUUUUUGGGGGGGGGGGCCAUUUUAAAGUUUUGACCCAUAUCCUCUGGAAGCUAAGGAGAGCUCACUGUGUCUGGAGAGUUUGUUUAGUUCCCAAGGCCUAUAGUUGUUGAAGAGCUAGGGAACCUGGUGCUAUUGGGCAAGAGCUAACACCCUUCCUUUUCGUGUUCCCAGGCAGGCCUCUGAGGGUAGACAGCAGAGCCUCGUAUCCUGUCCCUGCGCAGGAGUUAUCUUUACCCCCUGAAAUCAAAUACUACACAUAGCACCCUGUAAAACUGCUUCCUUGUAAGCUUCACUGAGCUCACUAAGUAAACAUCCACCCAUGCUUUUGGAACUGAAUUCAUUUCUGCUUCCUGGUCAUCCCUUGUUUUUUCUGUUCUCAGUGCCCCACAGAAUCAGGUUAUUGCAAGAAAGACCUAGAAUUGGUCAAAGGCACCUAAGAUGACUGCUUUAACCUCAGUAAAAUUCUGAGGAGGGUAAACAGGCUUGUGGGAAGAAAAGUUUUCCUACACGGUGUCAUCAUACUUUGUAAGUCACCACUGCUGUCACGGCCAUUUCUCUAUGAAGACUUCAGCACAGUCUUGCUGUGGUUGUAGACCACAGUGGCCUCACUCCUUAAGUUCUAGGGCUAUGGUUGGCCUUAGCCUGAUCCCCUGCACCUCCUGCUUGUUUCUCAUGAUUUACCUCUUGUCACUUCUACCCACAAUGACAUUCCUAUUGCCGAGGCACUGAGGAGUCGACAUAUCCUUCACCAAGUUCAUGAAAUUAUGACAUCCUCCUGUGCUGAGCCUACUUCCUUCAAGUCCCCUUCUGAAAGAGAAGGCCCCUUGGCAGGGCUCUUUGUUUAUUUGAUCCUGGGCUCAUGGAUACAUCUGGAAUGUCCUGACAUGAACUUAGGCAUGUUUUUUGUUGUUGUUGUUUUUGUUUGUUUCCCCUCCGCCCUUGAGAAGGAAAUUGGAAAAUGGGGAUCUGGGUAAGCAGAGGACCAUUCUGGGGGGCUUGCUUUAAGUGACAUCAAAGCCAUAUGCCUGCCUAUGGUCAUCAGACCGGUAGGUAACUUCUUUAUUGGCAUACACUACCCCGCAGCCCAGAAGGUGUAAAUCUGAAGCACUUUCCCCUUGCUGAGAGCCUGGCACAAAUGCCUUGGGCUUCUUUUAAAACCAGGGAAUACCAGGCUGUCUUCCAGGUGGUCCUCCUCUCUGCUGGCUGCAGUGUUGGCCAGGGUGAUUGUGUAAAGGCUGUUUGGGGUAGUUGGUAUGGAAGCGGUGAUUGCCUGGCCUCCUGUUCAUCUUCCUGAAAGUUGCAAGAUCCUGAUAUGAUGCAUUUUAUGAAUCAGUUUAUUGCCCCAGGACCUGAACACAUCUAAAACAUCUAGUUAGAAGCUGGCGUGGAAAACAUUUAUAUAUAUAUAUAUAUAUAUAUAUAUAUAUAUAUAUAUAUAUAUAUAUAUAUUGUGUGUGUGUGAUAGUUGGAACAUGAACCUCGUUGAGUGUGUCUAGUUAUGUAGGGCUCAUUGAAUUAGUAUCUGAGCUGUUCUUGGUAGCAUGGUCAGGAGAGGGGGUGUUAGACGGUGACUUUGCUGCUGUUGAGAGCUGUCACUGCCCCUGAAGCAUCAGUGGAACUCUUCUCAUAAGAGUUUCCAGGUAUGUGGAUGUGUUAAACUAUUGCCCAAGCACUGAGGGUCGGGCUGAUGGAUAUUCAUCUUGGCUUGUUACCCAUCCUAGGGAAGAACCUGGUAUUGGCUACCUUAGGUCUAGGCUUGGCUGUCACUCUGUUGUCUUUUACGUUGUCAGAAGGAACUUCUUGGGAACAAAUGACUCAGCAACAAAUUUCAGACUGUGUGGCCUACGUGCUUUCUGGGCAGGAAUUGGACAUACCUAACUAGAUUAUAAAAUGGUGAACAGUGAAUGAAUGGAGGUACAUUACACUGGAUUUCUUCAGGCUGCUAUUUGGUUUGUGUUUUAAAAUACCUGACCUGAUAGAAGGAUCUCAUUUGUGAAGUAAGCAGACAACGUUUUAAUGAUGCAUUUUAUCCUUAGGAAAUUCAGGAUAUAAAGUCCUGAUUUCAUACCCCAAAACAAAACAAACAAACAAGCGAAAUGAACAAAAAAAGGGAAGAAAGAAAAAGAAAAAGGCAAAAAUGAUAUCAGAAAAACAGCCAUGGUUGAAAUUUUGGACUUGUCUGUGACAGAAAGAGUUAAUGAAAUGGUGGUCUCAUGGUGAGGACUGUUUUAGCCUAUGGCUAGUAGAAGCCCAUGUGGCUCAUAAAAAAAUGAUGCAACAUUUAGUACAGGACAGCCCGGGCUGAUGUGAGCCCUGGGACCUGCCAUUCAAAGAGUUAAAGCUAGUCUUAUUCCCAGGAAGCUCAAAGUGAAGAAGAGAGGCUGCAGAAAUAGGGACCUGCGUGUUUCCGGAGCUGUUAGGUAUGAAAAAGAAAAAAGGAAAAAAAAAAAAAAACAGGCUAAAAUGUGUGGCCAAGAAAACAGAAUGUAGGUCCAACUUUUUUUUUUUUUCCUUGUUUGACCAGCCUUGGCACUGCCCUCUGCCUCUCCAGGGGAAAAGCUGCAGUUCUGCUCCUGCAACACAAGGAGCAGACUGGAGAAUUUAGAUCUGCGUCACAGAGCUCAAAGCAGAGAGAGAGAGAGAGAGAGAGAGAGAGAGAGAGAGAGAGAGAGAGAGAGAGAGAGAGAGAGAGAGAGAGAGAGAGAGACGAGGGGGGAGGGGGACAGAGGAGAGAGGGGGACAGGAGAGAGAGAGAGAGAGGGAGACAGGAGAGGGAGAGAGAGAAGGAGAAAGAGAGAGAGAGAGCCAGCAUGAGCACACAAGCUGUCGAUAGGUCUGCUAGCAGCAGCCGUGCUGCAGCGGAGAGAAAAAUCAAGAAACAAGUCAUAGCAACACUGGGCACCGGGUUCUGCCAAGCGUUCAGAAAUCUGUUGGGUGCCAGAGGCCUCUGGGUAGCCUAGGCUAAGAUGUCACGCAAGGUGGCACAGGCAGUUCCCAUGGGGAGGACGUGGGAAUGGGUGGGGGCAGGAGUGGGUACAAGAGUUGGUGGGGUGGCAGUGGAAGGCUUAAUCAGAGUGGAUUCUGGAACAUUCGGGACUGCGGCACCUUCUAUCUGGACAGGGAUUUGGGACUGCGCAGGAGACGACCGGUGGUCCAGUGGGGCUUAAGGACUUGAUGGCGUAACCCACUUCUUCCACGUAUGUAUUUCCUGUGAUAAGGGCAAUGUCUAGGAUGUGUGGGUGCAGUUUUUCUCACCUUCUUUCUUGCUUUUUGCUAUUUUUCCCCUUGAAGGUUUAUUUUAUCUUUACUUUAAUUUCUUCUCCCUUAGUGUCAGUUACUUAAGCCUGACCAGGAUAGAGGAGAGGAGUGAACCAUCCCCGGCUUCCCACUUAACCUCCCACCCUUUACCCUGUUUUCUGCUGGUGGUUGAAGAGACUGGUUUUCCAGGUUGUUUGGGUGCAGGUCUAUGGGUAAGGGAGAGUGUGAGAAGUAACAAGGAACAGGCAAGAGGGACUGUUUUUCUAGGCAUUCUCUUAUUAAAACGCCUAGUUCUAGGCAUGUGGGGUGGUGGAGAACAUAAGCAUGGGGUAGGGUGUGGGCUGGGAGAAGUGGGGUGAUGCUGGGAGGUUGUCACUGCGUAGUUGAGAAAAGUGGGGAAUGGUGACGCAGUCACUGUUGCAUCUUGUUAGGAGCUCUGUGGAGACAGGUAGUGAAGCUCCUGCGAUCUGUGGGGCCAACAAAAGGGUUAAAGAUGAGUCUAGGUGGGAAGCUAACAUUUAGAGAUUAAAUGUCAUCCUUUUGGCGAUGGAAAGUUGUUUACCUUGCUUUCUCUGUGUCUCCAUGUUGGCUCCCUUCCAGUUCACAUGUGAUGGCCUUCCCUGUACUGCUGCAUCAUUAACUAAGUGACUGAGCUGGUCUUCCAUUGGCCAGGGGAGGGCUCUUAUUUCAGACACUUCCUCUCAUUGGUGGGAGGGCCAAUGGCAGGUGAAAACCUCUUUUUGAUUGGCUAAGGACAGAGUAUCAAAUCUGAAUUUGCAUUUCACUUGCUUAAAGGGGAGGGGGGAAAGCCCAGCAGCUUCUAAAAUCUCUUUUAGGGGUGUGCGUAGGUGCGUGUGUCUGCCUGCUUCUGACUGCCCAGUUGAAGCGUCUUCCUUUACCUUUUUAAAAAAUUCAGAAACUAUGAGGAAGAGCUUAAAAUGCCUCAAACUUUUUUUGUUUUUUUGAGAGAGGAGACUGGGGAGAUGGAUAUGAAGAGGAUUGACCAAAUUGGAAGAAAAUAUUUGUCCUCUGCUUUGGUGUCAGAAAAGGGAAUUUUCCAAUCUGCCACACCUCAGUGUUGCGGCAAAAUAAUUCUUGGCUCCCCUGGAAACCAUCGGGCAAGGUAGGGCAGAACUGCUGCUGCUGUCGCCAUAACCCUGGGCUUCCUAUUGAAUGGGCUGCUCCCAAGUGAAGGGAUCUACGCCGAUCCUCUGGUCAUCCAAAAGUCCUCAAAUCAGCUCUGAGCUGAGCCCACUGUUGGAAGAACCUGCCUUUUGGAAGUCGCCGCUACCUUGUGCGUGGAAAGGUGAGGAUGGGGACCAACCUCAGAGUAUUGCUUGGGACCUGGCUGUUGUGAUGUUUCCCAAAAAGUGAGUGGCUAGGGCUUUGAAGGACUCCCGUUAGAAUGCUUUGUCAGUCUAGGGAACCAGGAGAUGAAUGAAACUGGGGCAGCAGCAGCUGUCUUGUACUGGGGGCAGAAGCUAGAAAGUUAGAGUUCGGGCACCCCAUCUUGUCCUUGUAAUGGGUCUCAUAUUUAUGGGAAGGGGUUUGCUGGGCCCUGCACCAUGCAUAGUGACUCCACCCAUGACUGCGCAUCCAGAGCAAGAACGCAGUGCACCCUGGGUCUCUGGCCUGGGACAAACACCUCCCUCCUUGUUAUAUAACUCAGGGUGGCCUGUGCCUUCUCAAGCCUUCUUUGCCACUCAAUCUCCCCACUCCUUGGGGCUCACAGCUGAGGGUCUGUAAGGGAACAGUGGGAAUUUCUCUCCCUGAAUGAGCUAGCCUGUGUCUACUUGGUGACAAAAUUUGAGUACAGAAACGGUCUGCUGUCUCUUCUGAGGACAUGGACCCCAGAAUGCCCUUCUGAGUGCCCUGUGUCACCUGUAGUCCCUGACUUAGAGGUGGGCAUAGUGUCCUCCUUUCCCUUUUUAUCCUUUCUAGUUUGAGGGCAGGGAAUUUCUUAAGGAAAGGUAUGAAAACCUGUUAGGAGGGGUUUGGCAGUUUCCCUUCCUUGUCUCUAGCUUUCCUUUCCCUGGCUGGGUUCAUACUCUUUCUGGAUUCCUUUGAGGCUGCCAUUUUGAAGGCAUCUCUGCUUGUCCUUUACAUGGUAGCUGACGCUGCUGGUUUUGUUGGCCCUGCUGUGCUACUUCUAAGGAGUGGGUGGGAAUAAGAAAGGGGGCUCUGAUAGCGGGAUGAAGCUGCUGUAUAGAUGAUGGAGUUAUGAUUACAGCAGUAAGGUGGUCUGGAAGCAAAACUGCCUGGUUCCACGCUGGGUCACAGCACUGGUGGGUGUCUAAAUGGAAGCCUUCUGGGUCAGAGUUCCACAGCCUGGGACCCCAUCUUUCCCAGAGUGUGGGUACUUGGCUUCCCUGCCCUAGUCAACCUGAAUCUUAGAGAUGCUCCAUGAAGUGCCUAGUGUUGAAGAAGAGGGAAGGCAGACAUAGCAGCUCAUCUCAGAUGUGGUGGACCUGUGGUUUGUGUUUUUAAUUAGGCUCUCUCUCUCUGGCAGCCUCCAUAUGGAGAAAUGGGUUGAGGUCCACAGCAGGCAGCAGCAUUUGGUCAAAUGACCCUGCCUUUCCUCCUUGCCCCCUGCCAGGGCCACAGUUGUAAUUGCUGUUCUUUAGUGAGGCUCCCUGCUGCCCAACCCUUUCUAGGCCUUUCUGCGGACAGCGGCCAUCUUGUCUUCCUGCUCAGAGAUCUAAAAUGGUUUCCCAUUAUUGUCAGGUUGAAAUUCCUCCUAUUUGGUAGGAUACUCUGGGCUGACUACAAGUGGCCUUAGCUUUCCCACAAAGCCUUCCUCAGGUGAAAACCAGACCACCCAUAUCCCUGCUUUUCUUUUUUCCCUGUUUUCAAUACUGCUGUUUUCCAUGCCUGCGUUCUACCUGUUGCAGGGCCACUGUCUUUAUGGACCUCUCCCUGAGCACCCUGUAAGAAGAAAUCCCUGUAACCACUAUUACGAGUCUUCUUUCUUUCAUGUUUUUUUUUUUUUUUUUUUUUAAUGUGUGGUUCCGUGUAUUCUCUAUCAGAGUUUGUGCUCCAGUAAGAAGCCUGGGGAAAGGGGAGGAAGACAUCCCCUUUCAGAACCUCUGUGGCCGGAUGCCAUGUUACAUCAUGAACAUUACUGGGGUGGUUUGCUUGUUUGUUUGUUUUUGUUUUGUUAUCAUUUAGGGAGGAUCCUGUGGCUGACAAGAACCCCAGCCUUCAAAAAUCCUUUUUUCCUCCAUGUUUGCAAGAUGUUAGAAGGUGACACCCUCAAAUGUGACUAUUUUAGGAAUAUUGUAAGUCUCUAAAGUUGUGUUAGAUCAUUCAGCUGGCCCUUUUCCAUCAUGGCCAGGUUCAGUCAAAAUGAUAAAUUUUUUUGUAUCUGAAAUGAAUAAACCUCAGUUGUUUUGUGUGCCUUCCUCGGGAAGAGCAGGCAGAGGUGGGUAGGUAGGAACACCUACAGAGCGGGAUAAGCCCAGUCACUGACAUAGGUCCAGACACUGGACUCCUAAUACCAGGUCUGUACCCCAGUCUCAGCUGGAUGACUUUAGACAGGUCGUCCUGUUUCUUGCCUAAGUGCCUUAGUUUGUGAAGUAGCCCCUUAGCAGUCUGUUCUGUAGAAACGUCCAUUGUAUUGUCUGUUCCUUGUAGAUUUGGCUGAAGCCCUCUUUCUCUGAUUGGAGACUUAUUGGGGAUGUAAAAUGGGAGAAUAGCGGGUGACUAGCAAAUUAGGAGAGGACUAGAUCUCCUAAGCUGUCGCAGCAGGAAGAGAGAGGAAUAUCUCACGAGUUUGACCUCAAGCCGGCAAAGUGGUGGUGUUCUACCAGGGAGAACUUGACAGAGUACAAUUCCAUCUGUAAGUCAGUGACAAUCUCUUGGCAACUCAGUCAGUCUCAGCUGAGGAUAUCUGUGCACCUAAGCCAUCACACUAGAGCAGUUUGCUUGCACCUUUGUGGAACAGCAAAGAGGACCUGCUUGACUACCCUGCUUUCUGUGGGUAAGUGUUCAUCCUCAUUUCAAAUAUGCAGAGUCCGAUAGGUGUUUGUAAUCCUGGGCUGCUAUACCGUCUUUCUUCCUCUCCUACGUGUCCCAUCCUUUGUCUUUCAGAAGAAAGUGCUGGAAUUCAGUGUUCAGCCACCACAUGUCUUCCUUAGACUCAUACUUUAGAAGCCGAUCUUCGAUUUUCUCUAAAAUAGAUCCAGGAGACAUGUCUUUGUUGAGGAGUGUUAAUAGCUUCACGAAGGACCCUGCUGCACUCACUGUGCCCAGCUUGUGCUGAGGCUCCUAGUUGACUGACUGCAUGAGGAUGGUCCUUGCCAACGCCCGGCAUGCAUCUGCCAAGUUCUAGCUCCAAAUCUCUAAGCUGUAGGAACCUCAACUAUAUAUAGACUUGAACUAAGCAGAUCUUAGCAGACAUGUGUACCCUUUCCUGUGGGAGAAGAGUAUCACAACUACAGUGUGGAGAGUGAGUUAUUUCCAAGGGCUUAAAGGUAUAUAUUUCCAUAUCAGGCUUGGGUCUGCCGUACUUAACUCUUCUCUUUCCUUUUUCAGAUGCUGAUAGAUGAAAAGUCAUGCUAGAUGGGGUUGCUGAGGUGGGAUGAGGGCCAGUAGGUUGCCAUGUUUAGAGAAGGAAAGACCAUGUGGCCAAUGGAGAUUAUGCCCUACAUCAAAUCCCAGCUUCCAGUGUCUCCUCUGUUUCUUGCUGGAUUUGCUCUGCUCAAAGAUAUCUUUUGACCUUCGUUCUUUUUUUUUUUUUUUCUAUUUUUCGGAGCUGGGGACCGAACCCAGGGCCUUGCGAUUGCUAGGCAAGCGCUCUACCACUGAGCUAAAUCCCCAACCCCUUGACCUUCGUUCUUUUGGACCCUUUACUCUCUGUUUUCAUCUACCCCUUCCUGUUCUUCCCUUUGAUUUUUCUUUAGUAUUUUCAGCUACUGAUUCAACAGCCAUAUUUAUUCUUUGCCUUCCCUUCUCUGCCUUCAUCCCAAUUAAGCAAGGCAGAAAGGGGUAAUUAUUUUGGGAAGAUAGGUGAUUAGUAAACAAAAACCCAUGGUGUUGAGUGGUAGGGCAUAGUAGGGUAGGUAGUCUUCCUUCCUGUAGGUACUGUUGAGCCACCAAUUGUGUGAUUCCUUGACCUCAAGUAUAGCCUGAUAUAGUAUGGACCUGGUCUUGUUGGUAGAUUAAUAUCAGGCUGCUGACUAGAAACUAGAAGCAACAAAGGAAAGGUCUGAGCCUGCCUGUUUCCUGGAUCUAUUCCCUUAAACUUUACAAUUCCAAACCUCCAACAAUUAUCCUUUUCUUUCCACUCUCCCAUUCCUGACUUUUCUGUAAAUGGGUGACACGCAGAGUGCUAACAUAAAGGCAGCCUACUCAGCUAGCUAGGCUAUUAAUGUUUGGGAAGUAUCUGGAUAUCACUGUAGACAGUGUAUGGUAGUAACUGAGUACCUGGGCUUCCCACAGUCAGGAAAAGGAAGCUUCUUGGUUACUGACAGCUAACCUGAGCUUAUUCAGGGUGUUGUUCCCAUACCAUCCCUGAGAUCCUGGGAGCUGCCUGGGGUGUGGACAUGCUCUUCCCUUUUCAGAGUGCGUGUUUGUCUUACUCUGGACUCACUGAGCUUUAAAGGGGCUUAGGCUAAGUCUGGGGUCUAUAGUUUAGCCUGGGCUGAGCAGUAACUGAAUUCUGGAUUUUUCCCUACUUGGAAUUUUCUUUCGAAUGAAUUAUUUUUUUCUUUAGGCCUUUGAUUAUCUUCGAAGUAUCUCCAGACACUCGACAGGGAUUUGCUUUUCCUCUGCCUUACAAUAGCAGCAAUGUUGAGUUAAAGUGAUGAUGUCCCUCAGAACUGAGAAGGCAACCCCAUUGUAAACACAGGUCAGAAAGCAGCAGGUGCUUGCUAUGACAUUCAAAAGUCCCUGUCCAUUAUUGUUGGCAGUGUUCUUAGCAAUAGUGUCAGUGGAAACUAACUAACAGCCAAAGGUCUAGUGUCUAAGAGAAAAGGAAUAGUCCUGGAUAAUUCUACUGCCUACCUGCGAGAUCUCACCCUAGCUAGCUAGCGCAGCUGCUCUGCUGGCGCCGUGUUGAUGCAUUUCUCUUUCUUUGCCCCCUCCCUCUGCUGUCCAAAGAAGACUAAUGAAUCUCUCCUUGUAUGUUUGAUUGUCUUGUUUCUCCCUUUGAGGCGAGCCUCUGAGAUCCUUGCCAAGAAAAGUCAGUUUGGAUGAGUUGUCUGUUACUUCACAGAGCUGAACAAGUUCAGUCACUGCCUCAGUGGUAUGUGAGGGAUAGCAGGGGGUUGGGAGGACUGAUGUUUAAAUGGAAAGGUGAAUUCAAUCAGCUCUGCAGCUGGGAGGUGGAAAGGAAUAAACCUAGUUCAAGAUGAUACCCACUGGAGGGCUAGAGCCAGAUGUGCUUAGUGCAAUCUGAUGCCUUACCUCUAGUCCCCAGCCCGGCUUCUGCCGUGUGAUAGGCAGCAUCAUGUGUUGCCAGUCAAGCAGACAAGACAGUUAAGAUGCCUUGACUAGGAUCUUGGCAUGCCUGGCACUUCUUCCUUGGCCUCUGAGUCUCUAAGUUCUAGAAGACAGUUGUGGUACUGAAGCUGAGACAGCAUGGCCAUAGAAUACAAAGUACCUUACCCAGGGCCACACCAUAUGGGUUCCACUGAAUCCUGUUCUUACAGGGGCUGUGAAUUACUCAAUGGAUAUCUUGGCUCUAUCCUUUGGCUUGGGAUAUGUCCCCAAUACUGCAGCUUUAGAGGAGGAUGUGAAUUCUCACAGGUCGUUUUUUAUACAUAUAGCCGACCUUUGGGAUAAGUAAGAGAUACUGCCCUUUUAACUACCCUGCCAUCGAUGGGAGGUCCUUGUUUUCCUUAAUUUUUCUGAUCGGUAGCCAUGAGAAAAGUAUACACUGGGUUUGAUUCCUUGCCGGCUCCUUCUUAUCCUUUGGGCUGAUAAGCAAGAAAAUAGUCUUGAAGCCUCAUAGUCUGUGCAGACUUAAUGCAGACUCUAACCUGUGUGGUUAGAGUAUAGAAAUAGGACAGAGGGAACCUCAUAGGGCCAUGUUACUUUGUGGUUGGAUAAAAGGAACAAGUCAUGAGGGUGUGGGAAGUCAUAUCCAAAUGUCUAAACUCUAGGUAGGGUGGAGCCUGAAUGACUCUCUAAUGAGGCAAGGAAAUGGGGUCAGAUACCUCUCAGUCUCCAUAUGCCAUCCAUGGAAAAGGAGACUGCCCUCCCACCCUUGGUAACACAGAUAUUUCCCUUUGAUUGUUAUAAAAGUAUAAUUAUUAAAUGACUUAGGUCAAAUUCACACAAUUGGUGAGUGAUAUUGAGAUUUGAUUCAGCACUUCUGAUUCCAAAGUCAUGUUUUCUCCUCACCCUUGGGCUGAAGUCAGACGUUUUUGUAAAUUAACACCCCAAGAAACAAUAUAGUCUUCACUGUAAGCAAACUAUGUCCCACCAGUAAGGCUGUUCUCAAUCCUUUUUUGGGGAAGUGUGGCAUAUGUGUCUGUGGAAAUUAAAAAUAUCUUGUAGAUAUUGGUGAGUGGAUUAGGAGCUGGAGGUGCAGAGCCCUGAGACUAGGUUUCUUCUUGUUCUAUUGGUAUAAGACUGUCCAUAGUGUAGCAGUGUAAAAUACACAGUAGCCAGGAUAACAUUGUGAAAGAGGAAGACACCAAUCGUUGAAAAUAUGGUGACUAAUUUCUGUCAUGUUAGCACUCAGGAGGCUGAAGCAGGAGACUCGACUUCUAGGCUAGCCUAGGCUAGCUUAGUUUAAGACCCUGUCUCAAACACCUCCCCUCCAAAGAAAAAAACCACAAAGGAAAACAUAGUGAGGAGAGUGGAAAGAGUUCCAGAUGAUAGAUGGACAAGACCAUGUUAGUUGGGCUAUCUUCCAAAGGGUUAGACUUGAUGUGGAUACCAACUCCUCCUUUCUCUAGGCAUUAUACAAAUCCUUACAAGUUCUUAGUAGCUCACAAAAGCAUGUACUAGGUUACGAGUGGUGGGAGCAGAGGUCAGAGUCUGGUACGGAUACCCUUAGCCUUUUUCCUCUUUAGCCCUCAUCAGGCGUCAGAUGCUUUUGUGCCAAAGUCUGAUCACCACACCUCUCAUCUGUGCAGCACAAGGAGCAUUCAGGCCAGGUCUUUGCUCAGUCACUGACAGUAUGUGCCUGCAGGAGGCUAAUUUGAAUCUCAGUCUCUUCUGGGACCAUGGUUUCUACAGGGAAUGGACAGGACCAGGUUGGGAGACAUCACCUCUAGUUAGAUGCUUUGUGUCCACUGUGUGCUCUAUGAGGCUGAGACAGGACAGUGGCUGAGGCAUAAGAGCUUCUGCACCAUGUGGUCAACUUCAGGAUUCAGAACUUGUUUCCCAGGAAAGAGGUGGCUGAGGUGAGCCAGACUAUGCAAUUCCCUCCUCCUUGGCCUAACACUGCUGCUUCAGACUGCUGAAAAUAUAGGAGCUUCCACUGGCUGAAGGAAUCAAAAUCUGCGUAAGGCUGUGUGUAUUGAGAGGUUACAGUAUGGGGGGGUAAGUCAUGGAAAAUGGAUUUAUGUUGUUUUGUGUUUGCACCAUGUCCUCGGUUUAUUUGCCUGUGAAACAGGUUUUGAAUGAGGAUCCUGUUGGAAGUUCUAACUCAUCUUACCUCUUAGGCCUGCCCUGAAUAUUUGUGCAGGUUUUGUUUAGCUAGAAACUCAGGGUCAGGAACAUGAACCCAAGUUGCAGAGAGAGGAGGGAUCUUGAAGGCCUAAGAGCAACCAAGUUUAGUUCCAAAGAAGCACUCAGUACUGGUGUGAAUGAUAACUGGUGAUGGACUUCAAGUGGGUAGUAGGAAUGGUUUUGGAUGGGUGUCAGUGAAGAGAAGGGGUUAACUGAGUGGAGGUAGCUGGGGAGGACUUACCAGGUGGCAGGAAAUGACACUGUUACCUUGUUAGGGACAAGUAGAAGAUAAGCAUAUGGGAGCUGGCUGUGUUGCAGGGGUCAGAUGGAGAGACCAUGUGUAUUCAAGGCCUAUCUUUGUGCAGAGAGGACUGCAUUUAUUUAUCCUCCUUUUCUUGUGUGGUUGGGACUCUAGCCUAGCUACAUGUGACAAAAAUUCUCCAAAGCUGCCUGAGUAGGAGCCCCUGUGCCGUGUCUUAAGGAUGUAAGGAACUUUAAGGAGCCUUAAAGUCAGUACACAGAUCUCGUCACAUUAGCUGGUUCUCUGGGUCUUUGCACAACACUGAGUAGAGAGGUAGCAUUGGUCUUGUCAUGAUUGAACUGAUCCAGGAAGAGCCCACUCAGAACUAUAUUGCUUGUUUCAAACUUGCAUUUCUAACCUAGGUUUUGUAUUCCAGCUAGACCAAGGGUCGGGGUGGAGCUUUGAGGUCCUUGACAGUGUUCAGCAUCUCCGAGACCUUCAGUUCCUACUUUGCACAUUAGAGGAAGGAAAGCUCUGAAUGCCUUUAUUCUCCUUCCUGCUGCUUCUCUGAGUCCUUGGAGCUCUUGUGCUAUCUGGCUUGCACUUCUUGGCUAAAAUGCCAGGCAUUCCCCAUGUUCCUGGAGAGAUUUCUUGUUAAGCCAUUCCGACACCUUCAUAGAGUUUUCCCUGUGAAUUCAGGCAUAUUUCUGCCGGGUGUUGCUCAUUGAGAGAGGAAGUCUCACUGUGGCAUCUGUGAGGUUUUCCCAUCCUAUUUGUUGAGGGAUGCCUGGAGCUUUCUCAGCAAGUAUAUCCCGUUUGCGUUGCCUGUUUGCUGGCUGACAUAUAUCACCCACUGGAAGCACUGGCAUAGUUAGAUGCUAGAAAAACUGUCAUCAGCUCAGAACCUCUGCCUCAUGAUAAGUUUAGGAGAAUGGGUCUCCCCUGUUUAUGAAAAUUGGGUGAGAGAACUGAUGGGCCCUAGGCUUCUUUGAGUCCUGAAAACAGUCCUCAUUUUUUUUAAGGGAACUGAGGCUGAAUAUUGCACUAUAUCACCUCUAAGUGACCUUUAUUUUAAUAGACCCAGGGCUCUGAUAGAGGAUAGAGAAGUGCCUGCCUUCACUUAUCAUGAACUUAGGCAUGAAGGGUUAGAUUUUUUGGGGAGUGUUCCCUUCAGAGCAAAUGAGGUUGGACAGGGUCAGCCAACGUCUGUGUCUGCUUAUGUGUGUCUAUCUCUCUGUGUUCCCUGAACGGAUCUCUGUGAAUGAGAAGUUACAUGGAAGCCCUUUCGGUGGAGGAUGCAUUCUAUUACUUUGCACUGUAUUAAAGCUGGUUCUUUCUAGUCACCUGGAGAAUGCAAAAGAGGGUUGAUCCAACACAAAGUUAUGAGGGAAAUUCAUGGAGAUACCACAAAAAGCCUGUUUGUAACUUUGCUGAGUUCCCAGAGGAAGAUAGCACUCCCUGAGGAGAUGUUGGCUGCUCUUGUCAGGUCUGCCUAGUUCUGAGGCUAUGGUACUUUGAAACUGUGUGUGGCCGAGUUACCAGGAUAUAAAGUGACUCCUUAGUUCUACUUUAUAUCAACCCCAGCUCCCUUUGUGGCAGCCUUAAGGUGAGAGACUGGGAGAGACCACGUAGGCAUAGAACCUGGGACUAUAACACAUUUACCUUUGCAGAGAGGAUUUCUGCUCAGGAGUUGUUCUUAAUUCUCACACAAGAAGUAGAGAAAGUAUACGCUGUCUCUCAUAGGGAAGAUCUGUUCUAGUCGUGCAUUUGUUUUAUGACUACCCCUAUCCCAGGCCAUUCCUCCCAGUGAGGGGGACUCUUGACAAGGAUUGUGGGUGGUAGAGAAGGCAAGAUCAGAUGAGAUUUCCUAUAAAAGUUUUCUAGAAGAAUUUCAGAGUAAACUGACAGCUCUGACAGUCACGGGCAUUGUCUAUGAUGCUAAAGGCUUCGGUGCAUGUUCAAGCACAUGGACUACUUAGAACUCCAGAGUGUGAAAUAAUUAGUUAAUGGCUCAGUGAAAGUUGUGUUAAGUAUGGAAAAUCCUGUGUCCUUUUGCGUUAUUGCCAGCUGAAUAUUUAGUAUCAGAAGGCUGGACAUGUCGACAGGCUGGGGAAGGUUACAUGAGUUGUAAACCACCCCACCUCACCCCACCCCACCCCACCCCUGGAGCUGAGGACUGAACCCAGGGCCUUGUGCUUGCCAGGCAAGUGCUCUACCACUGAGCUAAAUCCCCAACCCCAAGUGAGUUGUAUCUUAAGUUCACGCUUACUAUUGACUUUCUUCCUCCUUCCUUUUCUAUUUCCUACUCUCUUGCAUUCCUUAGCCAUUUCUGAAUACAAUCAUUUAUCUACGGAGGAUUGGAUCCACAAAAUGCUGAAGCCCCUCUGUGAAAUGAAAUUAUUUUCACUUAAUUUACACAUACCCUUUUGUGAACUCUUUAAACCAUGCCCAGGUUUCUUCUAAUACCUGAUUCCAAGAAAAUGCUGUCAAAUUAUUGUUUUAAGAAUACUUUAGCGAUAGUGGCAAAAAGAAGUCUGUGUAUAUAAGGUAAAGAUGUAGUUCAUAUUCAUAUAUACGUGUUCAUGGAUGUGUUCACUGCUACAUUUUUGAAGUACAGUUCUGAUAUCAGUGAAUGGAGUGACUUUGGAGUGUAAAUGCAGGGACCCUUCUGUCUCCAGGUUUAGCUUUCCAUUGGCCUCGACAGAGAACAGUUUUCCCUAUAGUAUGUACCUAAUUUUUGGGUAGUGGUUGUUUAGGUAUACAAAUCCUAAACCUAAUUAGCUGUUAUUUCUUUUCAGCUCAAAUUCUAAUGGCCUGGAAUAUCUAAGACCUUGGAUGCCACUCUGCUAGGUAAGAAAGGCCAAGAGUGAGUUGGCACAGAGAAGGAGAGGACACUGCCUCUGGCCACUGGCUUCUCUCCAAAACAGGUGACCUUUGUGUUUGAAAGGAAUGCAUUUAAUCUUUUGGGCCUAAUAGAAGUUACUUGUAUUUUCUCUCCUUUUCGCCCUUCCUUUCUCUCCUCUACUCUUCCCCCACCCUUGCUACUUCCUCAGCCACCAAAGAAUUUAAUCUGCUGCACAACAAACAAUACAGUUAUAAAACUUUGAAGACAAGAGGGUGUAGACUCCCCAACAAGGGAAAGGGCAUGCUGGGUAAUGUCCCCAGGAAACAUGCCAGGCUUGUACAGAGCCUGCAAGAGCCUAAUUGACUGCGUACCUGGGUGCCUGCCCUGCCCAGUGCUAAGCUAUCCCUAGUCCAGAGAAGGAAUCCAAAUGAAAGAGGUCAGAGAAGGGCUUAUAAAGGGGAAGUUGUGUGUUUUCUCCCUCUGAUCUGAUGGGAAUGUACUAAACUGUGAAACUUCCUCCUCUGCUGCUUCUCUCUCUCCCCUCCCUCUUUUUCCAUUUUCUCCCUCCUACCUCCCUUAACCCUCCACCUCCUCCGUCUCAUUGUUCUUGAGCCUAGCAGACAGAAGUCAUGAUAACAGAAAAAGGUUAGAAUAGCAGUUGUAGGUGCUACUACUGGCUGGGCCUGCCAAGCAUGAAACAGGGUUUGAGGUCUUUGCUGCCUAUAGGCUCAGACCUAUCUCUGCUAAGCCCAGCCUCCUUCUCUGAGUUGAGGCAGUGAAGCCACAUACACAACACAGUGUGCCCCAGUCUAUAUACUGCUAGGUGUGUACCCAGGUACUGGGCAGAAAUACCACUGAGAGGUCAGUGGGUCCACCUUGACCUUCUUAGGACUGUGCUAAGGAGGACAGUGAACGGAGAUGAUCUCUGCUAUGAGAUUCACAGGAGGAGCAAGGCUUGUUGUAUAGAACUUUAUUGUUGAGAACUCCUAAGAACCUAGUGAGUAAGAAUAUGGCACUAGAUGGGAUGUUAUACCUGCCUCUUAUCUCAAGAAACAAGGAACCUUGUUUCUUAGCAAUAGUAGACCAGUGCUAGCUAAAUGAGAGGUAGGGAAGUUGGACUUAGUCCUGACCUGAUUAAGCUGGUAUCGCCUUACUGAACCUUCUCCUCUGAGCCAUAUAGACUAAUUAGGCAUGUUAAUGGAAUGGGCUGUUUGGAUCUAGGGCCAUGAACUUUGGUAGGCAUAGGGAGACUACAGGCAAGCUUAUCUUUCCUCUGGCAACAAACUUGAGCUUCCAUGAAAGUGGUCUGGGCUGUGUUUCUUUUGCCUAUGAGAGCAAAGCCUUUUGCCAUAGCCAGGGUACAUUGCACUCUGGCCUUCACUCUGUACUUCCUUCUCUCUUUCUUCACUGUUUAUUUCAUCCCAGAAGGCAGUGUGGUGCCAUGCCCUGUCUAGCCCAGAUACUGUGCCAGGACCUUAGUGCUCUGUACAGAAUUUUACUGAGUUUGGGAGCUUUUGAGACGUAAGAGUUGUUCAGUAGCAUUAAGGAGGGGGCAGAAAACCUAACUUUUAGGAAUUUCAUUUCUCAGGAACAUAGGUGUCCUGAUUCAGUGGAGCCAGGAGGACCAGUGUGGGCCCCGACAGGCUUCCGAAGCCUUUCUUCUCCCUUAGUUAUCCACACAGGUACUUGAAGGACAUGCUGAACCUCAAGGAUAGUAUGCCCAAACAAGUUCCAGAUUCCCAUUUACCGAUGGAUCCCCAACAUAUGCUCCUCAUUUUAUCACCCUUUCCUCCGAUUCAUUAGCCACAGCUUUCUGGUAACACGAUCUACCUACCCUGGAUGCUGGGCCUGGGCUGCAGCCGAGAGUGACAAGAAGCCAGGCCCCCUGUUCAGUGUACAUACAGGUGGGUUUUUGGACGUAAGAUGGUUCUUUUUUUUUUUUUUUUUCAAUAGAAGACUUCCCCUAUCUUUCUCUCCCAAAGAUGAGUUCUUCUAACUGGUGGGAACUCCUAAAUCAGUCUUCAGAUGCAGGCAAGGAAAGGGAUGGCAGGCUUCUGCACCCUCCCCCACCCUGGCUGGAAUUCUCAUCGUGCACACAGCUGUGACUCAGCACUCACUGCUGGGUCAGGAGGGAGAAGCUACUUCGUGGCUGGAAUCUUCCCACGUUCUGCAUUUGAGCACAUCGAACAGCCCAGGCUAGGCCAGCAGGGUGAGGUUCCUGGGCAAGUAUUUUCUCCUCCAACCCAUAUUCUUCCCACAUUUUAGGGAUUUCUGUUCUGGGCUCAGGAUAUUUAGGAUUCUAAAAUUCAUUGCAUCAGCCAUAGACUAAAGUAAAGGUAGUCUUUUCAUCUUUGCUUUUAACCAAUGGCCCAUGAAAAGUGGUUAACCUUUAUUUGUACUGUUUGGCUUUUGUGGGUUGGGUUUUCUAUGUGUUAAUUUUAUAUCUAGACAGAUUAUGACUUUUACAUGCUGUUGUUGCUUCUGGUUGUGUGUGUGUGCUUCUGUGUGUGUGUGUGUGUGUGUGUGUGUGUGUGUGUGUGCUUCUGUGUGUGUGUGUGUAUGUGUGCUUCUGUGUGUGUGUGUGUGUGUGUGUGUGUGUGUGUGUGUGUGUGUGUGUGUGUGUGUGUUCUGACCACUUUUCCCCAGCUUCUUUUUACAGAUGAAGACACUGAAGCCAUUCAGGGCUAUGGCAGGGCCCUGUACUCAGCAUAUAGGCAAGCAGGUAUCUAAUUUACCAGGAGUGACACUGGCAGUCUACCCUCUGGCCCUACCUUACCAGAGGAGUGUCCUGUCAUGGGAGGGUAGAAUGGCUUCCAGAGAGAAAUAUGCACAGGAGCAGAUGGAGGCUGGAGAGUGUGUCUCAGACUUCUUCCCUGCUCGGUGACCUAUUCAGAACUGCUAAGCAAGGCAGAGUUUCUUUUUUAAACAACCCCAUCAAACUCUGUAACUUAAAGUUUACUUGAAGCCAUUUAAUUGAGGAGGGAGAUUCCAUUAUUCUCACUGAAAGCCCUAACAGCCCCACGGGCUCCCCUGGUGCAGAGAGCUACAGCCUUCCACACUUUAUCAAGUCAUCUAGCUAUUCCACCUUGAAUCACCACCUUGUUUCAGAAAAGGGACAUUGCCCAGCUGACUAUGGGAACCUUACUUUUAUAGGGUGCUGAAGCCUGAGUGGGAUUGGAUGGACAAGAGUUUUAAAUGCUAGGACUACUCCUCUUUCCCUCCUCUGUAGUUCCCUGCUUAAAUCACUUUCAGUGAUUUCUUAUUUACCAGAAAACAGGGUAUGCAGUCCAUGGAUGUAACUCUAGACCUUACCUUUCCUUCAUUGGUAGUUUACCCUGGCCAGGCAUCUUAUUUGCUGAGUAGUAAGAAAGGAAUUAGCUUCGUGCCAUGCUGAGGACCAAAAGAAACAGGUGUUUUCUAAAUGAUAGCAAACCUGGAUAGCCUUAGGGAAAGCUUUCUAGAGCUGAGGUGGCUCAGGGAGGAGGUGGGGAGUUGCUAAGAGGAGACACCAGCACAGGCAGAGCCUUCUGGGAGGCAGGGUGUGCCCUGGAUCCCUGCAGGAUCUCCUCAGCAUAGAGGGGGGAGGGGAAGGGGAAGGGGCUGGGGAUACUAGAGGAAGUUGCAAAGAAAAUUUGGCUGAAAUGGAAAUCAGAAGAGCUGAAUAUUAUCAUAUGCAAAUCUCAUCUUCCCCUUCAUUUACAGGGUUUUGACCCUUGUUAAUAACUGCCAUCUAAUCCAUUUAUGACCUAAAGCCCUCCCUAUCACAGGGCCACAGACUCUAAUUUUGGCAACCAGUUUCAGUGUCACUCAGGAACCCAGUGUAUAGAUCUGCCUGCAUUCCUCUGCAGCUAAGGCCCCGGAAAGCCCCAGGGGAGGCUGCUGGGCCUUGUUUCUCCUCUGGCUGGCCCAGUUCCUGAGAAGCUAAAGCCUAAGCAGUGUUAGCAUUGCUAGGCUUCAUUGCCAUCGUCUUCUCUAUUGCUGGGAAGAAUAAAGAGGCACCAAUGGGGCAAAAGAACAAAAGCAGGUUCUCCUAGACUACCUGACCUCUUGUAUAACACGGCAUCUCCACCCAGGUACAGCAUGUUUGCAGUGAGCCUUUCCACUCCCCGAGCUAAGUCCCCCUCCCCAGUCUAGCUCAGAGUUCAGUUCAAGAGAAAGGAGGUCACAUUCAAGCUGUGGAUCAGGCAGCAACAGUGGGCAGAGGGAAAGGAAUACAGACAUUAGCUCAUCGUAUCCUGUGACUACGGUUUCUUGUACAGACAUCGGAAUAAUGCCUGCUUCACUGGACUCUUGGCACAAUAAGUAUUGUGACUCUGGGGAUGUUCACAUUAUAUUUGCUCUAUUACCCUAUAACAGCCAUAAAAAGAGAUAAGCUUGUAUCUGGAGGCCAAAAAGAGUUGUUGGGGAACCUGAAAAAUACAGCUGUGACAUCAGAGGAAACACACAGCAAAGAGUGCUGAACACAGCAGUCCAAUGUGGAAAAUAGCUUGUGAAUCUUAUUUUUAGAUAAAUUUUGUUUUUCUGUUAGAGGGUCAUCUGUAUAAUACAGUGAUAAGUGUUUUAAAGUCAUUAUGGGUUAAAUCAAAUUGCCAGCCUACGGGGACAUGGGACAGAAAGGAGGAAGGAAUGUGUUCAUUUUGAAUAAUACUUGUGGAAGAGUUGUCCUGGAACUUGGGGUUAUCUCAUAGGUUACUGUCUUGAAGUGACAUAAUCUAUCUACAGACACUAUGCAUCUUGGGAAAUACUAUAUAAACUCAAGACAUUACAAAUGUACAUAUGUUGAAUGGAUUUGGUUUUUAUUUCAUUGUUUAUAAUAAUUUCUAAUUACUAAUGUGAAGUCAUACAGGGAAACAACCUCUGCAUUGGUCUUGUCUGCUCCAAGUGUUGGCUGUGACUCUGGAUGCUGCUCUGAGCAGCCUUGUAUGGCUGUCAUCUGCCUCUGUGAUUCUCAGGGCUGAGACUGGUUCUUCUGACUGCACUUCUCUGCUUUCUUCAGUGAGAUCCUCUUCUUCUGGAAGCUGGUUUCACAUGGUGGCUUAGAUUUUUCCAUCUUUGUAUCUAGCACCAUUUGAAAUCAGUGUUUUAGGAGUAAGAAUUGCAGCACAGCAGAGGGUAGACUGCAGAGGAACAGCUGUACCCAGGACUGGCUCUCUCCUUCAAGAAAUCAAGGGAAGACUUGAAUAGUGAAAUUUGCUCUUGAGUCUAUUUGAUUUAGAUACAGUGAUAGUGAGAAAGUUUUUGUGCAGAAUAAAUGUAAGGGUGUGAUCAGGGGUACGGAGUGAUCCACUUUACCCAGCAUUCCAUGGGUGGAGGAGGGUGCCUCUGGCCUGCACUGUUCAUUGUCUGGUAAUGUUCCAGGUGUCAAUUGUAGCAAGGAAGAGGGUAAGGGCUCUGUAUGUGGAGGACUGCUUCAUUCACAUCAGUACUGCCUGCCUGUACCUGGAGGAUCCGUGGAGCACUCAGUCCUGGUUGCAGCACAGCUGAAAUCAGACCGGCACCUGCCUUGAGAUUCAGACCUGAAGAACACCACUGGUCCAUCUCUUACACAGGCUGACCGAUUUCUCCUGGUGUUCAGAGUCUGUUUUUGUCUAGCACCAUUUGAAAUCGGUUAUGAUGUAGGGGGAAAAGCACCAGCCUCAGAGCCUUGUGGUGUCUGGUCAGCAUCAGCCUGUCAUUUCCUACACAGGCAGAGCAGAAAAGGAAGAUCACAGUUUCCUAACUUCUUUAAUGCAUAUGUAUGUGGCUACAGAAGUUAGAGAUCACUUACUGGGUUUUUUUUUUUAAUUGUUGUAAUUUAUUGUUGUAAAAUAUGCUCAGUUACAAUUUCUGACAUGGAGUACCGUGAUAAACUAGUUGCUGUUGAAUCGUCUGUUAAGUGCUGGCUUUAAUAAAUAAUUUGCUACAUUCAA
This is a non-coding RNA of Rattus norvegicus (Norway rat), 50891 nucleotides long. Lineage: Eukaryota; Metazoa; Chordata; Mammalia; Rodentia; Muridae. The record is from RefSeq and is a predicted model, not a curated record.